UUAUAGAAUUAAUAUAAUAAAUAGGAUUUGGUUUGUUUAUUUUAUUAUUGUAUUGUUUAUUUUAUUAUUAUUUAUCAUUUCUAGAUCUGUGGAUUUAUCAACAUCAAAUUUGUAAAAAAGAACAAAUUAUUCCUGGCAAUUAGGUUAGGUAUAAUGAAAAAAGGGAUGAAAAGUCUUUUGCUUGUUUCUAUUCUUUCUCUAGGAAUUGCUUUUACCGCAUUCAAAACAAAAUAUGUAUAUUGUGAAGAAGACUAUUUGUCUUUACCUCUUUUUUUUCCUUUUUUCAAUCUAAAUUGGACUAAAUUGGGGGGGGUGUAAUUAUAUUCCUAUUGUCAGUGUCAGAUUUAAAUGUUACAUAAUAGGUUUUGUUUUCUAAAUUCAAUUUGAGUAGAUACUAAACAUAAGAUAAGUAAGUGGAGAAUAGAAAGGAAGGAUAAAUUAAAUUAGAGGAACAAAUAAUUACAGGGAGUAUUCUUCGUCUUUCUAGCCUUCGACACAAGAAAAGGAAUUUUACACACCCUUUUCUUGUGUCGAAAUAAUAACAAUUCCGGGACCCGUUCGUCAAAGAUUUCUAUUCUUAGUUUUGAUUUUUUCCAGAUUUUUCAGAACCCUUUAUUUUUUCUAUUUACUUAUAAUAGAAUAAGUAAUAAGGAUAAUAUAAUAAGUAUAAAAUAAGUCGAAAUAAGUAUAAUAUACUAAAUAAUGGACAACCAAAAAAAAAGAGAAGGAAUCCUUACCGAUUUUUUUUGAUAAAAUAGAAUCAAGGCAAUAAACUUAUAAAAUAAUUUCAAACUUUGAUGAAAUACUAAAAUAAAUCGAGUAAGGUUGGACUAGUCUAGAAAAUGUUUGAUUGAUAUCUAGUCGACAGAAAAAAAAAAUAUUAAAUAUAUAUUGUAUUGUGUCAUCCAAUUGAGUGAUUCCUUUUUUCUUCUAACCUUGAAUGUAUUGAUAGAUACUAUCGAAGAGCAGAUGUUAUGAAUCAAUUAAUUGAAAUUGAGUUCAUUUUUCAAAAAAAUCAUCGGAAAAAGUGAUCCAUUUGUUGUCAUUUAUACGACCAAAAUAUUAUGAUCAUGAUCAUUAAGAAUUCAACGGAACCCUUCCUCGUGAAUCAGACAAAGAAAGAGGGGGUGGCCUCGUUGAGUUCUUACACUUUCAUGCCUAUAACUUAGUUCGUCCCAUUAUCCAUUAUUCCAUAUUACAAGGACGAACCCAAUCCCGAAUAUGAACCAUAAAAGAAAAUACCUAUUAAACCAAUCACAGGAAUACCAGUUAUCGUACCUAUUAUCCAAAGAGGAAUCCUUCCAGUAGUAUUGGCCAUUUAUCCCGCUUCCCUUCGCAUUUCAUCAAAUGGUCAUGGUAAAGACAUAAACAGUCAUAGAUAAUUAUGAGAUACAAUCCUUCCGAAUGGGAUAAGAGAAUUCCUACUAUUAUUUAGUAUUCUACUACUCUUUUUUUUUCUUAAUUGAAGAAAUAAUUGGAAAAUAACACAACAAGUACAAAAAUGAGUAAUAACCCCCAGUAGAGACUGGUACGAUUCAAUUCAACAUUUUGUACAAGCCAAUAUUAGCGCUAUGGUGUGUAAAUGUAACUCGUUGUUUAAAGAACUAUUCAGAGUUCCUAGAGCUCCUUGUAAAGCUUGUUGGAAAACCCGUUGUCGGACUUGAUUAAUCGCUCAUUGUUGUUCAAAAUAAAUGGUUUCAUUUUUGUAAUUUUCUAAUUGUUCCAAAAUCUUAUAAGUUGAAUUAAUCAAAUUCAAUUUUUCUCGUUCUAUCUCAGAGUAUCCAUUCACUCGAAACUGAUCCGCCUCCAUUUCAACUGAGGGCCUGGGCCUUUUCCAGCCGUUCAAUAGCCCUCUGAAUUUCGAAUAGUAUUCAAGAUCCUCUCUUUUCGAUUAUCUAAUAAAUCACUUAAUGAAAGUAGAUUAUCUUUCCAUUCAUUUUUUUUAUUUCAAAAAUUCCAUGAUCCCUUCUCGAACCAAACAUGAACCUUUCAAUUCAUUUGCUCUCACGCUCAAUUAUUUCUUAUUUAUUGGGAAUUAAUUCUCAAUAUCUUUUUUUUCUAAUGUAAUGAGCUUACCCUCUCCCUCUCGGCUCUAUACAUAUUCCAAAAUAUCGAAACUGAUUACUAAUCCAAGGCCAGAAUAUUCGGAGGAUUCUUCGGACCAAAAUAGAAAAUAUAUCAAAAAACUAAAAAGUAUAAUAAAUAAAUAAAAAAUAAAAAUUUACAUAUAAUUUGGAAUUUCUAAUUGUACUUAGAAUUGUAUAAUGUAUAAUUGUAAUUUUUCAGCAAAGUUGUUUAUUUUUUUUCUUCAAAUUCAAAGAAUUCUUCUCCCUUUAUACAUAGGUCAUCAAUUCAGCAUUGGAAAAAGGGGUUCAAAUCGUUUUAUCGACAUGAGUGUUUUAUAUCAAAAAAAAACAUUUUGUUUUGAAAAUAUUUUUGUAUUUAGUAACAUAGUAGUAGAAAGAGUACCCUGCUGCAUCUGAACUUCAAACGAGUUUGGCCAUUAACCAAUUAGAUCUUUUUCCUAAAAUUUAGGGUUGGUCCAUUUUUUUAUUACUUAUAUUUAUAUCAUAUUUACCUUCGAUCAAUAUUAUUCGAUCAAUAUUAUCUUUAUCUUGAUAUUGUUUUUGUUUAUUCAAUUUCAAUAUUAUGAGUCCUAAUUAGAUCGGGGGCAAACUCCUACGAAAAGAUCGCUUGGAUUUAAGAAAGAGUCACUUGGAUUUAUCCAUGAUUUCUUUAUUCCUUAUUUCUAAAAAGAAUCCUAUCCCUAUUUCUAUUUCUAAAAUCCUAUUUUGAAAAUUCAAAUUAUAGAAUUAAUAUAAUAAAUAGGAUUUGGUUUGUUUAUUUUAUUAUUAUAUUGUUUAUUUUAGUAUUAUUUAUCAUUUCAAUAUAUAAUUUUAAUAUAUAUAAAUUUUAAUAUAUUAAUAAUAUAUAAAUAAUAUUAAUAAUAUAAUAAUACAGAAAGAAAAAAUGCGUUAUAUAACUAAUUAUAUACUUAUACUUAAUAUAUUAUAUACCUAAUGUCAUAUUUUCAUAUUCUCAGGAAGUGGUGACAUACGAGCACUUGAUUCGAUUUAUUUCUUUAUCUCCCCGUGAAUUGUAUGUUUUUAACAAUAACGACAGAAUUUCUUCAAUUCCAAUCGAUUGGGCAUAUUGUGUUGAAUUUUUUGAGUAAUAUACCUGGAAAUACCCGUUGAUUCCUUAUUAACGUCGUUUUGAACACAACUGGUACAGUUGGGCUGGUUUUGAGCUGCCCUUAGAGCUGCCCGAUUCUCUCUUUCGGUACCAGACGGGACCAAAACCCGUUGCCUUACCACUUGGCCACGCCCCAUUUAGAUUUCUAUUUGAAACUACUAAACACUAAUAUGGGUAUUCCUUGUUCGUCAAUUCCAGUUCCAAAUAGCUAUAGCUAUGGAAUAGAUUCUUGCUACGAUUUUUGCACGUAUGGAUAGAGAAUUAAAUCGAAUUUAUUGAUCAUUGCAUAGAAUUCAAUUAAGAUAUUGUAUGAAAGUAUGAUUUUUUCUACCAAAUAUUCAACGUAUUUCUCAUAUUAUUCGAUUGAUUAAUAGUUUGAAAUCGUUCUUAUUUCUAUUUUGAAUUUGUAAAUAAAAAAGAUUUAUGAUUAUGAUAUAGGUGGUAAUCAUAAAUGUAUUACCAAUUGGGUUUUUUCUAAACGGAGCUCAUAAUAAAUAAGACUGUAAAAAAAAGGAUUCUUUUAUUUUAUAACCCCAAUACAUCGCGCACAACUAUACUAUCAUAUAUCAUAUAUAAUAUGAGAAAACAAUAGAUUAUGUAUGCUUAAUUUUAAUCAAUCUAAAACGACUCCAUUGUUACUGCUCAAAGGAGAAGUAAUAGGUAGGGAUGAUAGGAUUUGAACCCGUGACAUUUUGUACCCAAAACAAACGCGCUACCAAGCUGCGCUCCAUCCCUUUCAAUUGGCCUACAAUGUCAUUGUAGAGAAUCCCUGUCGGAAAAAGUAGGAGUCCCAUUCCUAUUAAAAUAGGAAUGGGAAGUUGAACAAAAGGUAUGAUCCAUGAAUAUUGAUAUGCAUGCUCAAUAAAAACUUUUUUGUUAUUCUUUCUUAAUUAAUCGUCUCUGAUUCACAGGCUUUUAUCUCUUUUGAUUGAAAAGGAGUAAUAAAAAAAUCGAGAGAUUAUAAAGUUAACUGGAAUUUUCUAUUCUUAAUUUUUUAAUCUUUCGCAACUAUUUCAAAAAUAUUCAAAUUUCGGAGUUAGAAGUAAUCAAAUGAUCUCGCUGAGUUACUAUAAUGAAAAACAAAAGAAUUCUUUUUUUCAUUAUAGUAAUAUUUUUUCUGAAAAUAUCAAUUAUUAUUUAUUAUUACAUAUUACAAUAAUUUCUAUUUACAAUAAGUUAGAUACAUCAAUCAAAAAUACAAAGAAUUCCCCCCCCCAAAAAAAAGUAUGAUAUAAAUCAUAGGAUGUCCUAGAACUUAAAAGAAAAACGAAUUAUUUGAGUUUGUUUAUUCGAACUUAUUAACUAGUUCAUUUUCAUUGCGGAACUGAUUGAUUGUCCUCCACUACAAUAAAUGAACCUUUUCUUGUAGGAAAGACUAUCCGAUAUUUUCUUUAUAUUUACAUAUAAUUAAAAGAAAAAUGACUAUUACUAUAAUAAAAUAUUCUUUUUUUUUCAAAAUUAUGUAUCCUUUAACAGAUUAACAACGAGUCUCAUUCGAAUUUGGUUGAAAAUGAAAAUUAGGCAUACCUUCUCUUCGAGCUUGACCAAUUACCAAUUUAUGGAAAAAAAAAUCAAAUUCAAGUUUGCAUAGGUAGAUAAAAUGGGUUUUACACUUUUUAUUUUGAUGUAGUUUUCAUGUAUAAAUGGAGAUGUAUAAUUCUCUUUAUGAUAAACAGAUCUAUUUUGCAAGUUCGUUAUUACGGGUAGUUCCUACAAAGGAUCAGACUAAUGACGUAUACAAUACUUGAAUUCUCGAUGUAGAUGCUACAUAGUUGGUUCUCAUCCUUCAGAGACUACGAGUGUAAUAGGAGCAUCCGUCGACAAAAGGAUCACCCUAAGAUGAUCAUCUCAUGGCUAUUGAGAACGAAUCAAAUUAGAUGGUUCUAUUUCUCAAUAUUUCUGACUUGCUCUUAUGGAACCAAGGUCGAAAAGAUUGAGAAAAAUCAAUCAUUCACAACCACUGAUGAAGAGAUGAAAUAUAACCAAGGUAUAUCUUUUUGAUCAGAGAUUGAAUCGAUCAUCAGAAGAAGAAUUAGGCCAAAAAUUAGGAUACAUUAUGGGAAAAUAAAACUUCCAUCGAAGAGAAGCAAAUGAAAGGCUUUCAUAAAAAUUCUCGUAGAAUCGAGAAUGAAGUUUUCAUUCUGUACAUGCCAGAUCAUGAAUUAGUAACUGCAUCCAAUCUCCAAAAAAAAUCCCAAUUGUUUCGAACUUUCUAGUUUUGGAAUGGGAAUAUUUACGGAAUCCUCAUGAAUAGAAUCAAACCUUAUUCCAUGGUAUUUACAUGAGAUUCCUCUUUCUUAUUCUUAAGCAAGUCCCCGAGAAGGCUUAGUUGAUCCAUGAUUUAUGUUUCAGCUUCCGUUUCCUUUUUGUUUGUUUCGGAUCGAAUCCCUCCUCGCCCACAACCGACUCAAAAGCGAAGGACCUUUCCCUCUGGGGGUAGGAAAAUCAUGAUCGGGAUAGCGGACCCAAAGCUAUGGAACUUGGGCGUGGGUCUUUUGCCGAAAUGGAGUGGCCUUUUAUUUAUUAUUUAUCGUAUAUUUACUUUUCUAUUUUAUAUUUAUAUAUAGUAUUACUAGCCAAAACAAAAUAAAAUAAGCAUAUUUUUUUAUUUUACGACCCGUAACUCUUCCUCAGCCAGGCUUGGGCAGAAUAGUAGAGCAAGUACAAGUAUUAGUAGCAUAGAAAAAAUGCGCUCCUCGUCAUUAAAUUAAUAUGUUUGCUCGCGGUAAUUGUGGCCUCUCGGGAGAAUCGAUGACUGCAUCAUUGAGGCAUUUGCUAGUACUAGUACAUCUAAGAAUUCUUAAUUGGCUGGUUGUAAAUAGCCCUGGGACUAUGGAACAAAGGAUUAUCCCGGUCAAAGCGAACCCUUUCAUUCUGACAUUCUGAAUUCUUUAAUUCGGAAUGAAUCAAAUCUCCUCAAGUAGGAUUCGAACCUACGACCAAUCAGUUAACAGCUGACCGCUCUACCGCUGAGCUACUGAGGAACAACGGAAGAUUAGAUCUCAUAGAGUUCAAUUCUCAUUCUCAACGCAUGACUAAUAUGAACUCGAAGUUUCCUUCGUAACCCCCGGAACUUCUUCGUAGUGGCUCCGUUCCAUGCCUCAUUUCAUAGGGAACCUCAAAGUGGCUCUAUUUCAUUAUAUUCUAUAACGAGCUCGGUUUAUGGAAGAAGGAGAAGAAGGAAUCGAGAAGAGAGUAUCAGCAACAACUGGGUUUAUUGCAGGCCAGCUCAUGAUGUUCAUAUCAAUCUACUAUGUACCUUUGCAUUUAGCAUUGGGUAAACCUCAUACAAUAACUGUCCUAAUUCUACCGUAUCUUUUGUUUCAUUUCAUCUGGAACAAUCACAAACACUUUUUUGAUCAUAGACGUCCUACCAGAAAUGAAUUCCACUACUAAACCAAUUAACAAUCAAAAUUAUAUAACAAUUCAAAUGCUUAUCAAUUAAUCAAAUUACAAGUUAUUAGCAAUUAAUAUUAAUUUAUAUUAUUUGUUAUUAAUACUAAGUAAUUAAUAAUAUUUAUAUUAUUAUAUUAAUAUUAAUAUAUUUCGAUUUAUAAAUCUAUAUUUCUAUAUUAUUUAUUUUAUUAUUCUAUCUAUUAUUAUAUUAUCUAUUAUUAUAUUAUCUAUUUAUAUAUUAUUUUUAUAUAUUAUUAUAUAUAUUUUUAUUUCUAUUUAGUUAUUAUUUAGUUAUUAUUUAUAUUUAGUAUAUUUAGAAUUUAUUAUUAUUUAAUUUAAGUUAAAUAGAAAAAUUAAUAAUUUAAUUUAAGUAUAAUUAAAAUAAAUUAUUAAUUUAAUAAUUUAGAAUUUCAUUUUUUUAUUAUGAUUUCGAUUUUAUUAUUUUCUUUUCAUUCAUCAUUCAAAUUCUAUUUAUUUCAUUCAAGUUACAUUACAGAUUACAGAAGUUUGACUGACCUCCCCUCUAAUUUUUUUUUUCAUUUUGGCAACUUAUACUUCUAUAUUAUUGAAUGUGUCUCAAAAUCUGAAAAAUUCGUGGGAGGGGUCAUUUUUGAAUCCAGAAUGGAUAGAUUCAAGAAAUAAGAGAAUUAAGGAUACCCAUUAGAAAAACUAAUGUAUAAAUCGUGAAUCAAAAAUGGAAAAUCAUAAAAGAUGGAAAAAGCUUCCGGCUCUAGUCAUUCCAUUAUAUUGACAAUUUCAAAAAACUGCUCAUACUAUGAGCAUAGUAUGGUCGCGGUCAGGCAAGUAUGCCCCCAUCGUCUAGCGGUUCAGGACACCUCUCUUUUAAGGAGGCGGCGGGGAUUCGACUUCCCCUGGGGAUAGGGUACUACGAAAGGAAGUUGAUCAUGGAUUAUCAAUAAACCUAGAAUUGAUUCUUCCUGGGUCGAUGCCCGAGCGGUUAAUAGGGCUGGACUGUAAAUUCGUUGGCAAUAUGUCUACGCUGGUUCAAAUUUAGAUUGUAUCCAUGUGAGAUAAUGCUAAAUAAAAAAUAAAAGGAAGAGACGAAUUUACAUUACAAAAAACAAUAUUAAAAAAUGAUUAGGAAAAAAAGGGGGUAAAAUUAGGUAUAUGGAACAACUAAAUAAAACAUCAAUAUCAGUAUUUGAUUGAGCUAAGUUCAUGCAAUUUAUUUUAUUAUUUAUGAAAAAAAAAUUUCUUUUGGUCAAUCAUUGAAUUGAAUGAAGAAAUCGACUAAAAUGAGAAUCAUUCUAUAUUUAUAUAAAGAACAGCUUUUUUAAAAUCAUAGACCCUAAUAUAGUAAUAUAAUAUUACUAAUAUUACUGAAUUUAUUUUCUAGUUUAUUUUAUAUUUUAGUAUAUUUUACAUCUAAAUUAUAUAGAAAAAUUUUUAUAUAGAUUUCAUGUAAUCGAUCGAUUUAAUAGAUUUAAUAUAGAUUAAAUUUAUUUUGAAUAGAUUUAAUAUAGAUUAAAUUUAUUUCUAUUUAGUUUAGAGUUCUAAAUAGAGAUAAUUAGAGUCAAAAUCUUUUUAUGCAUUUAUAUAUUUUAUGAUUAUAUAAAUGAAAUGAUACGUUAUAAGUCUAGAUAAUUAGAAUGAAACUCUUUUUAGACUCAAAAAGUUGAAUUAUCUUCGAAUUCGAAAUAGAAAUGAAUGGAAUAAUUAGUUCUAGUUAUUAAAUAUAAAUAAUUAGUUCUAGCUAUUAUACUAUAAAAAAAAAGAAAGGUCAAAACAAUGAUUUUUGCUUUUUAACAGUUUGGGGAAUGGAAACUGAACUACCUUUCGGCUCUCCUCGAAAACGACGUUCUUUUUUUGAGCCUAUUUUUAAAGAACUAAAAAAAAUGGAAAACGAAAUGUUUUAUAGCUUUAACAAUUUUAAAAGAAAAAAAUUAAAUUGUUUCGAAAAGCUUCAAAAGAAACAAAAAAAUGGAUCACUCAAAGCAUUCUAUUUCUAAAAGAAUAAUAAAAGAACUUUCAAAAAUAAAUCCACUUCCAUUUUUUGGGUUGAGAGAACCAUAUGAAUUGGGCGAAACUAAAAAGGAUUUGAUAAUCAGGAAUAAGAUGAUUCACAAAUCAUCCCUUCAAAUUCAAUCUAUGGCGUAGAAAAAUUUAUUUUCUAGUUUAUUUUAUAUUUUAGUAUAUUUUACAUCUAAAUUAUAUAGAAAAUUUUUUAUAUAGAUUUCAUUUAAUCGAUGGAUUUAAUAGAUUUAAUAUAGAUUAAAUUUAUUUUGAAUAGAUUGUAAGCAUUAAAGCUUAGUAAGUCCACAUGCAAAAUGAUAGUAAACCAUAAUCAUACAAUGACAUAAUAUCAACCACAAAGAUUAUUCAUCAUCCAAUCAUUUUAACUCCUUUAUCAAGUGUCCAUGUAUAUACUUUCUCAUCACAUAUCAUUCUUUAUCAAGGCAUUAUUCAUGGGUUUAGCGUACAUACCUGUACUCAUCGUAGUAUAUCAUAUAACCAUACCUCUUUAACAUGCCCUCCUCGUGACUUUCAUCACAUCCAUUAUAUUACUUUUUGAACACUUAGAAUACUAUUGGAUACGCGGAAAACUUGCAUAUAAGUGCCACAUAUACAUAUGUAGCCAAAGCUACCUCAUAUCAUGUAAUGCUCACAAUAGAGCUACUCACGGGCUUGCUCAUAUAAGGUCAAGGUGUAACUAUACGGGCUGCUCACACAAGCUGUUAGGUAUCCCACCCACUCAAGGAUUACCUAGCCACUGGUAGGACACACAAGACCAUUGCCCGAAACCCAAUUACAUGUAUCGCAUCCAUUAUGAACUCAGACCAACUCAACGAGCUCGGACGCCACAUACAUAUCACGAACCCAGACCAACUCAAUGAGUUCAGAUUUCUUAAUUCCUAGUGACAUGUCACUUGUAUCCUAAACUAUUCCUAAGGUUCAAACUGGAUUCUUUCUCAUAUACACAUAGCAUCUCCAUCGUACUUGCUCGUAACAUCGUGGAUAACGACUAAUAUCAUUCAUACUUACAAAGUUAUCAUUAGGCAUAGCAUACAUAAUAUUGAUAAAACAUUUAUCACAUAAUGUCAACAAAUCAAAAUAUAACACAUUGUCACAUUAUUUACACAUGUACUUACCUCGGUACAAAAUGAUGAUAAUCGAGCCUAAUCGUCGUAUACUUUAUUCUUUCCUCGAUCAAGACCUUGUUCAUAUUUUUCUUUAUCUAUAAUGCCAAAUUUAACUUGUUUAUUAAUCACAUUAUUCAAAUCAAACCAUAAUUCAUGUUUUGGUUUUUACCCUUAACUUUUUACUUAUUUACGAUUUAGUUCCUAGACUCAUAAAAUGAAAUGUAUGUAUUUUCUUGGUUACCCCAACCUAUACAAGGCUCAUAUCAACCCACAUUUUUCCUUUAUUUGACAUUUUUACUACCCACUUUUACACUUUUACAAACAAGUCCCCAUUUUUGGUGUUUUCACUAAAAAUUAUCUAGUAAAAGAUGUUGAUCAUGCAUCAAACUUUCAUAUUCCUCUAUUAAUCAUCAAAAUACAUGCAUGUUACAAAUGGGUCAAAUUUCAUACAUGAACCCUAGCUCAAAAUAUAGCUAGAAAUGGAUAAAUCAUAUUUUAAGGACUUCAAAAAUGCAAAGGACAUUAAAAACGGGGUUAGGGAACACUUACAAUCAAGCUUGAGAUGUUGAAGAAAACGCUAGCUAUGGCUAUUGGAAAUUUCGGCUAACACUUAGAGAAGAUGAGCACAUUUUUGCUUUGAUUUUCUCUUUUUUAUUCUUUUAAUUACCAAAUGACCAAAAUGCCCUUAAGGUCUUUCUUUCAAAUUUUUCCUAUGCAUGUCCAUUUUUGUCCAAAAUUAUAGAAAUUGGUCAAAUUGCUAAUUAGGACCUCCUAAUUUAUAAUCUAAAUAAAUUUCAUGCAAAAUCUUCUACAAUUCAAGUUUUGCAUUUUAUUCAAUUUGGUCCCUAAAGUGCAAUUAGACAUUUUAUGCAUAGAAUUUCUUCAAGAAACUUUCACAUAAGCAUGCAUUCACAUCAUAGACCUCAUAGGAAUCAUAUAAUAAUUAUUUUUAUCUCAUAUUUGUGGUUUUGAAGCCACUAUUAUGACUAUGCCCUAAUUUGGGAUGUUACAAUUCUGAGGUAGUUGAAGCCUCUGAUUCUAGCAAAUGGCUCGUUGCUAUGGAAGAAGAGAUGGAUCACUUCAAAAACUGAGACCUGGCAUCCAGUAAAACCACCCAUAGGUGAGAAAAUAGUUAGUUGCAAAUAGGUGUUUAAGAAGAAAGAAAGUUUUGGUCCAAACGAAAUUAAGUACAAAGCAAGAUUGAUUGCAAAGGGCUGUAGUCAAUUUGAUAGAGUGGAUUUUCACGAUGUUUUUUUUCCCGCUGUGAAACGUACAUCCAUUUGAGCCCUUUUGGCUCUUGUUGCAUCAAACAAUCUUAAGUUAGAGUGAUUAGAUGUAAAGACUGCUUUACUUCAUGGUGACCUUGAGAGGACAUAUACAUAUAAAAACUAGAAGAUUUUAGAACUGAAGGUAAGGAAGAUCAUGUUUACCUUCUUAGAAAAUCAUUAUAUGGUUUGAAAUAGUCUCCUAGGCAGUGGUACAAAAAGUUAUAUCCAUUCAUGUUAAGUAUUGGUUUUUCUCAAACUAAGUAUGACAGUUGUUUAUAUUUACAAUGUCUUAAUGAUGGUUCAUUUAUAUAUUUAUUGCUUUCUGUUGAUGAUAUGUUGAUAGGAGCUAAGGAUCCAUCGCAAUAGAAAGACUUAAAAUAAUGCUUAACUCUAUGUUUGAGAUGAAUGAUUUAGGUGCAACGAAGAAAAUUUUGGGGAUGGAAAUUUUAAGGGAUAGAUGUUUUGGGAAAUUUUUUUUAUCACAAUAUAGGUACAUUUAAAAGAUCCUUGAGCGAUUUGAGAUGUGAGACUCAAAAUCGGUAAGUACUCCUUUAGCUGCACACUUUAAAUUGUCAACUUCAUAUUCUCCCCAAUGAAGAAAAAGAGUGGUACAUGUCAAAAUUACCUUAUUCAAGUGCAGUUGGAAGUUUCAUGUAUGCAAUGGUAUGUACUCGUCCUGAUAUUUACAUGCUGUUAGUGUUAUUAGUAGAUACAUGACAAAACUGCGUAAGUUACACUAGCAUGCAAUUAAGUGUAUUUUCAAAUAUUUACGAUGUACUUCUAACAUGUGCAUAGAGUUCAAAAGAAACCCAAAUGGCUUAGUUUGAUAUAUUGAUUCAGAUUAUGCAAAGACUUAGAUCGAAGGAGGUCUCUCACAAGCUAUCUAUUCGUUUUUGGUGAUUGUGCCAUCAGUUGAAAAGGUACACUUCAAGCUACUAUAGUCUUAUUAAUACUAAAACAAAAUACAAUUACUGAAGCAAUAAAAGAAGCGAUUUGGUUAAAAGGCCUGUUUAGUGAACAGGUAAGUGAAAAGGGGCAACUAUAGUAUAUUGUGAUAGUUAAAGUGUCAUACAUCUCACCAAAGAUCAAAUGCAUCAUGAGAGAACAAAACACAUAGACAUUUAUUAUCACUUUGUCUGAGAGGUGAUCAUUCAAGGGAUGUUCAGAUUCUUAAAAUUGGCACAAAACUCAAUACGACCAACAUGUUGACAAAGAGUCUUCCAAUUUCAAAUUUUAAGCAUUUUUGGACUUGGUGAGUAUCCGAAAAAGAUCAAAUUAGGCCCAUAAUAGGGCUUGGCAUAGAAGUUAAGUCAUAUACAAGUCAAUGUGGAGAUUUGUGGAGUUAUGCCUCACAUUUUCGGACCAAAUAGUGUGUAACAUCGUGGUGAGAAAGUGUUCUUCAUCCCGAUGAAUAGUCAACAUCACGAAUAGAAGAGAGCCAUUAUCCCGAUGAUGCAAUGCCACAUCUCGACAUGGCGACGUACACAUCAAGUUUUUUAGCUUUCUUCUCCCAGUUAACCCUACUUCUAGUAUCCUACUUAAAUUUUGAUUAACCUACAAAUAUUUUAGUCAUAUAUGCUAUGAAUUUCAACCUAUAAAUAGACCUUAGUUACUAUUUUUUUCAUGAAUUUUUAAUAAUUUUUAAUCAAAUUGAUGAUUUUAGCGGGUGAACCAUAUGAUUCUAAAGUUAGCCUAAUUGAAAAUAUUUUUUAGCUAUUUCUUUAGUAGGGAUAUCUAGAGUUCACCUAGUAUUUUGCAUUGUUUUAUUGCCUUUUCUUUUUCCUUCCGAUAGAGAAAUCAAAUCGUAAAUAGCAUCUUCAUUUAUUCUAAUAUUGUUAAAUAUGACUCCUAUUUUCAGUCAAAUUUGAGAAAUAAAAUUUCAGUUAAACUCUAUUUACUUGUUUCAAUCAAACACUGAUUAGUUUAGAUUAUUUUAUAUUAUUUGACUUAUGAAUUUAGCCUAUAAAUAGGCUCUUUUACAACAUUAGAAAACAUGCCCAUUAGAGAUUAGAACUCAUAACACAUUUAGAGAAUUUUGUGUUUACGUUUUGAGGAUUCUUUAUUUUCGGGUUUUCGGGGUUUAGUCUUUAUCUUCAUCUUUUGUACUCUUCGUUCUUUUGCCAUUAUAGUAAAAUUAUCUUUGCCCGUGGUUUUUUAUCCUCUUUGGAGGGGGUUUUCUAUGUUAAAUUUGUGUGUUCAAUUUCUCAAUUUAUUCCGUUAUUUUUCUUGUUCGUUCCUUAAUCAGGUCGAAAUCCUAACAAGUGGUAUCAGAGCUAGUUCAAUUUUCAUAGAUCAGCCCGUUCAGAGAUGGCAACAACAAGGUUUGAAAUUGAGAAGUUCAAUGGUGAGACAAAUUUCAAUCUGUGGCAAGUGCAGAUGAUGGCAAUUCUAGUUCAAUCAGGCUUGAAAAAGGUUGUUAUCGGGAAAAAGCCUGAGAAUCUAAAUAAAACAGAAUGGGAAGAACUUGAUGAAAAUGCUUUGUCUGCAAUCCAGUUGUGCCUCGCGAAUACGGUAUUGCUAGAGGUAUUGAUGGAGAAUACCUCAUCCGCCUUGUGGAAAAGGUUAGAAACUCUUUAUGCGACUAAGUCUCUGGCUAAUCAUUUAGUGUUGAAACAACGUCUAUUUACGUUUCGCAUGAACGAAGGUGAGCUUCUUAGAGAUCAAAUCAGUCAAUUUAUUACUCUUUUAAAUGAUUUAAAUAAUGUUAAGGUUCAUAUUGACGAUGAAGAUAUUAUUGUGCUCUUUACCCCCUUCAUACAAGUCUUUUAGAGAGACCCUGAUUUAUGGCAGAGACAAACUCUCAUUCGAAGAUGUGAAGGGUCAUUUGUUGAGUAAAGACAAACUCGGUAAUGAGCUUCAUUUGGAUAGCAAGACAGAUAGGCAAGCUUGCGUUUUGGUAGCAUCAAAAAAACGAGAUAAAAGGUGUCGCUAUUGUAAAAAGUUAGGUCACAUCAAAGCAGAUUGUUAUAAACUGCGAAAUAAAAAAGCUGCUAAGAGUAACGAGGAAGAUGUAGCUGGUGCUAAUUUGGCCGAUGACAAUGGUGAUGAUUUCUUGUUAGUGUCAACAAGCGAUAACACCAAGCUCACGUCCGAGUGGAUCCUAGAUUCAGGAUGUUCUUUCCACAUGGGUCCCAAUAAAGAAUGGUUCUCCACAUAUAGUUCGAUUGAAGGUGGAGUUGUGUGCAUGGGAAACGAUUCAUCUAGUAAGGUAGUUGGUAUUGGUACUGUUAAAAUUAAGAUGCACGAUGGGACGAUUAGGACACUCUCAGAUGUCAGGUAUGUACCUGAUUUACGAAAGAAUCUCAUCUAUUUAAGUAUUUAGACUUGAAAGGAUGCAAAAUCAACAUCGAGUCGAGAGGCAUUAAAGUAUCUCAUGGAGCUCUCGUUUUGUUAAAAGGUAAAAGAACCGGAAGCCUUUAUAUUCUGGAAGGUUAUACAGUGACCGGUGAAAUUGGACGUCCCUCGUCCGUUACGGAGUUGAACUCAACUUGUUUGGAGCGGAGGCAACUUGGUCAUAGGAGGAAAAAAGGUAUGACUAUUUCGUUGAAGAGAGGUUCUCUUUUGGAUGCAAGUUUUGAAAAGUUAGGGCACUGUGUUCGUAAAAAUCAGACCCGGGUUAGUUUUGAUUUGGCAGUAUACAAGUCGAAGGCUAGAAGUCUUCCAAUUUCUAAGCACAAAUUCGACUCAGUUAAUUCCCUGCAUAGUUCAAUAUAGGCUCGUGGUAGGCUUUGGCAAAGAUAGCGUUGUGGAAAUAUGAGUCAAGGUAGAGAUUAGUUAAAUAUGACUCAUAUUUUCAGUCAAAUUUGAGAAAUAAUAUUUCAGUUAAACUCUAUUUACUUGUUUCAAUCAAAAACUGAUAAGUUUAGAUUAUUUUACUAUUAUUUGACUUAUGAAUUUAGCCUAUAAAUAGACUCUUUUACAACAUUAAAAAACACAUCCAUUAGAGAUUAGAACUCAUAACACAUUUAGAGAAUUUUGUGUUUACGUUUUGAGGAUUCUUUAUUUUCGGGUUUUCGGGGUUAGUCUUUAUCUCCAUCUUGUACUCUUCGUUCUUUUUCCAUUAUAGUAAAAUUAUCUUUGCCCGUAGUUUUUUAUCCUCUUUGGAGGGGUUUUUUCACGUUAAAUUUGUAUGUUCAAUUUCUCAAUUUAUUCCACUAUUUUUCUUGUUCGUUGCUUAAUCGGGUCGAAAUCCUAACAAAUAUAAUCUAAUUUUUUUAUAUAAUCAUAUUCUUCUACCAACCAUUCACCUAAGGUGUAUCAUUUUCCAAUCUCAUAUAUAAGAAAUUAUUUUUAGUAAUGAAACAUAUAUAGGACUUUUAAUUAACAUGGCUGGCUAACUUGAAACUAUUGUUAUUAGAAGUCAAAAAUUUUCUUAAACUUUCAACAGCUGCAAUUUGUUGAGAAAAACUAUAGCAAUCCAAUCCAACUCAAUUGGAGACCAUCGAGCAUGAUUGAUCUCAGCCGCUGAUCCAUACCACAUCUCUGGUUCCAUCACUGCAACUCCAUUUUCUGCUCGAUAAUUGGAGCCCACCACCUCCCAUAUUAGAGCCCUCGAAUCAUCUCCAGCCGAACAAAGCUGUUUUCCCAUCAAUGGUGCCCAUGAAAUAGCGUUAACACUCCCUUUAUGCCUGCAUAAUUCCAUCAAUGGUGUUGUCGGAAAUCGGAUGUCAACUAUCACAAUUUUAUUGCUAUCCAUCCCUACUGUAGCCAUGAACCUAGGGUCUGCCUUGUUCCAUUCUACCCUCAGCAAUGGAGUUUCGGGGAUCGGGUUUUCGUAAAUUAUUGUCGAUCGUUCUUUGUCUCGCAAGUCGAAAACUCUUACAGACCCGUCUCCAGACACGGAUGCAAACACAUUGAACCCGCCCCACGAAAUGUCGAACACUUCCUUGUCGUGCGCAACUAAUUGAGUGUCUACAGCCUCCCUCUCAAUGUCCCAAAUGGUACAAGUAGUGUCGACACUGGAGGUGGCCACACGGCGAGUGUCGAAAUCAGCCCAAUCGAAAGAAGUUAUGGCGGAAUUGAAUUCGCUGCUCUUGUUGCCAUUAAGCAAGGACUUAAGCUCAAUGUGAUCGUCGUGGAUUUCCCAAAGACGAAGGUAGUCGCCGGACGUGGCAAUCAUAUCGGGAUUAGAGGUAUCAUCGGACGGAAAGAACAUUAGGUUGGUGGGAGCGUAAGGGUGAUCGAAAACUAACCGAUUGUCAGUCGUGAAAUCGGAUGUAUAGAGAUUGAACUGAACCAGUUCCACCUUGUUGCUGUAGUCUUCGAGGAAACUGCCAAUGGCAAGGCGAGAUCUUUUGUCGUUGCGGACGGACCAUGCCACGGAGUAAAUUGGCCAUUGACCUAUGUAUGUGUAGACGCCUGUUUUCCUCUCUGUGGGAAUUUGCAUGCUUUACUUACUGUAUAAUCAAAAUAAUUUAUUAUAAAAAGUUAUUUUUUAAAUCUGUAUGCGUCCCACUAAUAAAUAAAUAAAAAGUCUCCGUCGAAUACUUAAACAAAUAUUACUUAUAAAUAAAACAAGGAAUAAUGAAUUAUUUUACCAUUCAAUUUUGCCAAAAAAAAUUAUUUUAGUUUUCUUUAAUUCUACAUUUUUUAUAAAAGUUUACGUUGUAUGUCAAAUCAUUCUAAUAUUUAUAAAAAAAAUAAUAUCUAUUAACCUUAAUUACGUAGUAUUCAUGUAUACGCCACUUUAAUAAUUAAUUAAAUUUUUUAAUUUCAAAAAAUAUAAAAAUUUUGAAAAUUUUACAAAAUAUAUAAAAAAUUAUUAGAAAGCAUAAAUAUAAAAAUUUGUUUAAUAAAAUUAUAUUAAUAAUUUAUAAUUUUUAGAAUCUUUAAAAAUUUAUAAUUCCUUACAUUACAUGUGCACGGCGAUAACUGUAAAAUUAACAAAUAAUAACUUAUUUAUUCAUUUUAAAGUGUUUUGAUAAAAAAAUGUUAACUUAAAAGUUAAAAGAAAUAAAAAUUUAAACUAAUAGCACAAAUAAUAUUUUUUACAAAGUUGGAAGGUUAAAUAGAACAUUGUGCCAAUAAUAAAAUAAUAAAAAGUUGGUAGUAUCUUCUUUCUCUUUUUUAUAUAUAUAUAUACCUUAAUGUUGAUCAUAGAGAAAAAAAAAUUUUGAGUUAUAUAAAUUAAUGAUUUCAAAAUAAUCUUUUUUUUAGAAUCCGUUUGAGUUAAGCACGCUAAGACUAACUAGAAAACUAUAUAUAAUAAUUAUUUCAGUAAGUGAAAUUGCACAAACUAAAAGCAUAGCUAAAACUCAAUCAGAUUUACGAAUGAGAAUAUGUUAUAUAUAAGAUAUUUUGUGAUAAAAGUGUUUUUUUCAAAUCGAACAGUAAUUUUACCAAUAUUUUAACAAAUAAUAACUAAUUUAUUUAAACAGUAUCUGAAGGAAUAGGAGUCAAGACCCCUCCUGAGCCUCUGAAUCCAUCCCUGUAUAUAUCACAUAUUUUUCCCCAAUAUAUACACAUAUAUCUUCUAUAUAUAGUAAAAGUUCUGUGGAUUCUUUUAACUGUAAUAGUAGUUGGGGAUUUUUCUAGUAGUAAAAGAACUUCAAGAAAAUAAUAUAAUAUUAUAAAAGUGCUUUCUUAAAAAGUUUAAGGUUUUCAGAAAUUUUAUAAAACUGAUGUUCUACUUGUUCUUCACAAAUGUUUGCACACCUAUCCCGCUUUUCUUUUGACUGUAAUAAUAGGUUGGGUAUUUUCUAGUAGUAAAAGAACUUCAAGAAAAUAAUAUAAUACUACAAAAGUGCUUUCUUAAAAAGUUUAAGGUUUACAGAAAUUAUAUAAAACUGAUGUUCUACUUGUUCUUCACAAAUGUUUGCACACCUAUCCAGCUUUCAGCAUAAAGAUAUGCUAAAAGGAUACAAUUAAGCAAAUUAGAUUAAAUAGGAUGAGUAUUAAAAGAUAUAGAAAAAAGAAAAGAAAUCUUUGCUUAUAUUCUUUCCUUAUUAAGAGAGAAAUAUAGACUUACGUUGAUGUAAAAGGGAGAUGUUCUAGCUUGAUAUAAUAUCUUCCUCUCCUAUGGUGUGAAAAUAUGUAAUGAGCAUUCACGCAACACACGUAUAUAUGUCUGAUGAUGAAGAUAAAUAUAUAUAAUAGAACAAAGGAAAGAAAAUGUGGGUUAAAAGUUAGAAACUUGGAGAGAGGGUGUUUAGCAGUGGGUUAAUAGUUUAAAGGGAGAGAGGGCAGCAGCUGCCAUGGCUAUAGCUUAGAAGAAAUGGGAGCGAAAUUCAAAUGAAAGAAAGGAAGGUAAAGCUAAUAGUCAAUCUUCCACGAGCCAACCCGUUGGAAAGUGGUGGGUUUUUGGUUUUCAGUCAUGACUAAGAGGGUUGCACGUGAUGCAUUUAUUAUAUCCGCCAUUCCAAGGGAUCCAAUUUCCUUUUCAUGUUUAUUUUAUGUAUAUAUGGAUGAAGAGACUACUUAGCAUUGAUGGGUUGGCUUAAAUUCCUAAUUAUUCUCGCACUUGGGUGGUUUAAUUAUGAAAAUCAAACUAGGUAGGUAAAUGAGAUGAAUUGACACUAUGGUUUCCAACUCUAUGAGUUAGCUAGGUUCAACGAGUGGUUAGGUUAAGCAGCACAUAUUUUAUUGAUGGACUGGGCUGUACUCUUCCGUUCCCACUUGUUGGGACUCCAUCUCCUAUUUAAUUGGGAAAGGGAGCUUCUUCCGUACGUUCCACAAAAAAAAAGUGUUAUGAUCUUGGUCAUUUCCCAUUAAGGUGGACUGGAAGAAUCUAAAGGGUUAGAAGGAGUCUCGGUUUCUCUGAAAUAGAAUCUAUUUUCUUAUUAUAGUUUUUUAAAAUUUUUUAAAUUUUAAAUUAGUAAAAAUAAAAUUGUACUUUGGCCCUUUUAAAAAUGAUAAAAUUUUGAUUUAAUCUUUUAAAAAUUACAGUUUUAUUAUAGUAAAAAAUACAAUUUAAUUUUCACCCCUUAAAAAAAUUUUCUGACUUCGCCUCUGAAGGUCGACCUGACCCUUUUUACCUUAGUAAAUAUAUAGUUAGUCAAACCAUGCAGUUCGCAUGUAUGAGUUCACACUUGAUAGGUUCGUGUCAUCAUGCAAGCGAACUCAUACUCAAGGAUACGUGUUGGCAUGCAUGAAGGUUUACCUAAUAUGUUAUAUCUAGGGAUUGGGCCUUAUAAAUAGAGAUAUUGGUCUCCAUGAAGAGAAGACUCACGAAAACACUCAACAAUUAGUAAGAAGUGUUAUUAUAUCAAUUUGUUAUAAGUUAUUUUAUAUGUAAGGAUCAAUAGAGAUAUUGUUAUAUAAAUAGAUAUAUUAGUAUAUAUUAUAGAUUUUAGUAUCUAAUAAAAUGUUGCUAUAUAAAUAGAUUUGAUAAAACGUGAUAAAAAAAUUAUAAAAAUCAUUAAAAUUCUAAAAUUAUUUUUUUUGGCAUUAUAAUUUUUUAAAUUUUUAAUUAAUAAUUUUUUUAAGAAUUUUUACAAAGUAUUUGGUUACAAAGUUGUGUUUCCAAUAGGAAUUUUAGUAUUUGGUUACAAAAUUGGGUUUCCGAUAGGAAUUUUAGUAAUAGUUAUAGAUUUUGAUAGUUGUUAUAAAGAGAAUGGAUUGUAUGAAAUUGUAAUUCCACGUCAUCACUAUCCCUUUCCAAUAGGAGAAUCAGAUUUUUCCUCCUAACUUUUAGCAUUUUCAAUUGGAUAUGAAUUUUUUUCAGAAGGAAAAUUUUAAUUUGUCAUUCUCCUAUUGGAAAGGGAUAGGGAUGACAUGGAAUCACAGUUUCAUACAAUCAUUUUUCUUGUUAUAAAAAUAUUAUUAUAUAAAUAAUAGAUUUUGUAACCGAUGGUGUGGCAUGUUGACCCUGGGCGUUGAUUAAUAGGCUCAAAAAACUCGAUGACUUUAUGUCACACCCCCAUACCCGAGACCGUCGCCGGAGUCGAGCACGAGGUGUUAACGGACUUAAUUCAUUAAUUAAACAGCUCAAACAAUUUAUUUUAGAAUUUCCAGACAAGCUGGCUAACUACGUCACAGUCGCUAAAAAAUCCAUAUCUUGAGUUACGAAACUCGAAAUCCAAUUCCGUAAAUUUUCCCUAAAACUAGACUCAUAUAUCUACUUAUAAUUUUUUUUCUGUAAUUUUUGGUCAGGCAAAUUAGUAUAGUUUAUUAGUUAAAGUUUCCCCUGUUUCAGGGUCCGGCUACUUUGACCCAUGUGUAUUACGAAUAAGAUAUCUCCCUUUAUAGAGUUUCAAUGACUAUUCUGUUUGUUUUUCAUAAAACUAGACUCAAUAAGUAUUUCAUAAAUGUAAGGUAAAACUCCUAAUUGUUUUUGUAAAAUUUAUGGUGAAUUUUUUAAGUUAGAAUAGGGGAUUCAGAGAUUGCUCUGACCCUGUUUCACAAAAACUUAAAUAUCACAUAAAAUAUAACUCAUUUACCUGUUUCAUUUCUUCCAUAUGAAAAUAGACUCAUCAAGAUUCGAUUUCAUAACUUAUUCAUCAUUUAAUUCCAUUUCUACUAUUUUUAGUUAUUUUUCAAAAUCAUGUUACUGCUGCUGUCUGAUUCUGUUUUGUGGCCAAUUUUACCUUUCCAAGGAUUUUCAUGGUUUAGUUAAGACAUAAAGCAUACAUGUUAUCAUAUAAAACUUGAUUAGCCAUUCCAAUAGCUAAUCAUUCUCAAACAUUUCCAUUUCAUCCAUGGGCCAUAUCGUAAGAUUAUACACACAAAAUGAUUGGAAUGCUAUACAUGCCAUAUUUCCAAAAAUUUCAAGUCAUUAUACCGCGAUUGUCCAGUGAUAGUGUGAGCGUGCCACCAACCGUCCCGAUCUCCAAAUUGACUUGUCAAAACUACAAAGAAUGAAAAGGAGGGAGUAAGCAUAGAUGCUUUAGUAAGUCCACAUGCAAAUAACAAAUAACUUAACAAAGCAAUUAUACCAACCAACAUUAGCAUAAUAUCACCAAAACAUGUAUCACAUUUCUAUUCAUCAUUCAUCAUCUUACCAUAUUAUUGUUGUCGUAUCAAGUCUCAACCCGAGGGUUAACUACAUACCUAUCCAAAGUGCCCAUUCCACAACACUUACCAAUACGUCACUUGCAUCUUGAGUAUUCUUCCAUUUCACUAGGAUUUUACCCGUUGAACACAUCGGAAUAUAACUCAGAUACAUGGAAAGUUUGCACAUAAGUGCCAUAUAUGUAGCCAAGCUACCAUGUAACCCGCCCAUAAGCGAACUCGGACUCAAUUCAACGAGCUCGGGCGUUCGCAUCCAUAAGUGAACUCGGACUCAACUCAACGAGCUCGGAUGCCUAGUUACAUCUCACGAACUCGGACUCAACUCAACGAGCUCGGACAUUCGCAUCCAUAAGUGAACUUGGACUCAACUCAACGAGUUCGGAUGCCCAAAUAUCCUAAUCUAUUCCUAAGGUUCAACGGGACUUUCCUCGUUCAUACUCCUUUACCAUUCUCCUUGAAAUACCAAUGACGAUACUUCGGUAGUCUUUCACAUUUUUCACAUAAUUCAUAAAAUUUUUGCAUGUUGUCCAAUAAUGACCACAAAGCAUAGAAUUGCAUGAUAACAAUCAUAAUAUCGUAUAAAUAGCAUUAAAUGAUUUACAAUAACAGUUAUAUUACAAUAUUUACAUAUGAACUUACCUUGAUUCAAAAUGAGAAUAGUAGAGCCUAUUACUCGUAAACUUUAUUUUUCUCCCGAUCUCGACUCGAAUCUCUUUUCUCUUGAUCUAUAAUACCAAAUUAAUUUAUUUAAUACACACAUUCAUCAAAACAGCCCCUAGUACGAACUUUGGAAAAAUUAACAUUUUGCCCUUAAACUUUUACAUAUUUACACUUUUUCCCCAAGGCUCGUAAAUGAAACCUCAUCCUAUUUUCUUAUGUUUUAUAACAUGCUGAUCAUUUUUCCCUUCUAUAGCAACAUCAAAUUCACACUCUAACAUUUACUUAAGAAUAUUAGGUAUUUUUACCGAUUAUGUCAUUUUACUCGUUUUUACGAAAAAUCACUUAGCAAAAGUUGUUUAACACAAUCUCAAACUUCAUAUUCUACCAUAAAACAUCAAAAUUCAUACAUAUCAUCCAUGGGUAAAAUUUUAAAUAUAAACCCUAGCUCAAAAUAUUGGUAGAAAUAGGUAAACCGAGCUACGAGGAUUUCAAAAAUGUAAAGAACAUUAAAAACGGGCAUAGAAAUCACUUACAAUCAAGGAUUAAAAGUGUUGAAACCCUAGCUAUGGUGGAGAACAAAAUUCAACAGAAACUUAUGGAAAAGAUGAUCAUUUUUGUGUUAUUUUUCCCAUUUUAUUUCAUUUAAUAUCCAAAUGACCAAAAUGCCCUUCCUUACUAAACUUUCAAAAAUUCCAUCCAUGUCCAAUUUUUGUCCAUAAACUUAGAAAUUGGUCAAAUUGCUAUUUAAUACCUCCUAAUUAAUAUUUCAAAGCAAUUUCAUAGUAGAAACUUCUAGAAUACAAGUUUUGCAACUUAUUCAAUUUAGUCCCUAACUUCAAAUUAAGCAUUUUAUGCAUAAAAUUUCUUCACAAAAUUUUCAUACAAUCAUGAAAUCAUAUCAUAGACCUCAAAAUAAUCAUAAAAUAAUUAUUUCUAUCUCGGAUUUUACGCUCCCGAAACCACUAUUCCGAUUAGGCCUUAAUUCGGGUUAUCACAACUCUCCCCCCCUUUAAGGAUUUUCGUCCCUGAAAAUCUUACUGGUAAACAAGUGUGGGUAUUGAUUCCUCAUAGUUUCCUCGGGCUCCCAUGUAGCCUCUUCUACCCCAUAUUUUUGCCACAAUACCUUCACGAGAGCAAUACUUUUAUUUCUCAGUUGCUUGACCUCUCGAGCUAAAAUUUUAAUCAGUCCUUCAUUGUAACUCAUAUCCGGUUGUAACUCGAUUUCUGUCGGUGAAAUCACAUGUGAAGGAUCCGAACGAUACUGAUCUAACAUAGAUACAUGGAAUACAUCAUGGAUCUUCUCUAAUUCUAGCGGUAAUGCUAACUGAUACGCUACCGGACCAAUUCUUUCAAUUACCUCAUACGGUCCGAUGAAACGUGGACUCAACUUGCCUUUCCGACCGAAUUUAAAAACUUUCUUCCAUGGAGACACUUUUAAAAACACUUUAUCACCAACUUGAGAUCUCUUUUCGCUUCAAAUCUAUGUAAAAUUUUUGCCUAUCCGAAGCAGCUUGUAAACAGCCUCGAAUCACUUUCACUUUUUCUUCAGUUUCUUUGAUUAAAUCAACUCCGUAAAUUUGGUUUUCUUUGAGUUCGGUCCAAUACAGCGGUGUCCGGCACUUGCGACCAUACAACGCUUCAUAAGGUGCCAUUUUCAAACUCUUCUGAUAACUGUUAUUGUAAGUAAAUUCCACCAACGGUAAGUACCUUUCCCAACUUCCUUGGAACUCCAACACGCAACAUCUGAGCAUGUCUUCAAGAAUCUGAAUUAUUCUUUUUGAUUGUCCAUCAGUCUGUGGAUGGAAGGCAGUGCUAAAAUUUAACUUCGUACCUAAUGCUUAUUGUAGCUUUUUCCAAAAUCGCGAAGUAAACCUUGGAUCUCUAUCCGAAAUAAUCGACAAGGGUACUCCGUAAAGUCUAACAAUCUCACUAAUAUAUAAUUCAGCUAACUUAUCAAGAGAAUAAUCAGUGUGUACCGAAAUAAAAUGGGCUGAUUUAGUCAAUCUGUCGACUAUCACCCAGACGACAUCUUUCUUCUUCGGAGUUAACGGCAAUCCUGAUACAAAAUCCAUAGUAAUUUAAUCCCAUUUCCAUUGGGGAAUCAUGAUAGGCUGAAGUAGACCCGAAGGCACCUGAUGUUCAGCUUUUACUUGCUGACAAACCAAGCAUCGCGAUACAAACUUGGAAAUAUCUCUUUUCAUUCCGUUCCACCAAUACAUUUUCUUCAAGUCAUUGUACAUCUUUGUACUACCCGGAUGCAUAGAUAAACAACCAUUGUGUGCUUCAUGCAAGAUCCUCCGAAUCAACUCAUUAUUUUUCAGUACACAAAUCCGAUCUUUAAACAUCAGACAACCAUCAGAGCUGAUUCUGAAGUCUGAUCCUGUAUCUGCCUCACAUUGUUUUCUUUUAGCUUGUAAUUCUUUAUCACUCCUCUGAGCUUCAUAAAUAUUUUGUAAAAACAUCGGUCUUGCCUUCAACUCUGCUAGAAUCGAACCAUCAUUAGAUACCGUCAACCGAGUAUUCAUAGCUCUCAAAACAAAUAACAACUUUCUACUCAAAGCAUCAGCAACCACAUUCGCUUUCCCCGGAUGAUAGUCAAUCACAAGCUCGUAAUCUUUCAAUAAUUCUAACCAUCUCUGCUGGCUCAAAUUCAAGUCUUUUUGUGUCAUCAAUUACUUGAGACUUUUAUGAUCUGUAUACACUCGGUAUUUUUCUCCGUACAGAUAAUGUCGCCAAAUCUUCAAAGCAAAUACUACAGUAGCUAGCUCCAAAUCAUGAGUUGGAUAGUUCUUUUCGUAAGAUUUUAAUUGCCUCGAAGCAUAAGCCACAACCCUUCCCUCUUGCAUAAGUACACAUCCUAAGCCAUUUAGAGAGGCAUCACUAUACACUACAAAUUCUUUACCUGGCUCGGGUUGUACCAACAUCGGUGUUUCAGUCAGUAACUUCUUUAAUUUCUCAAAACACUGUUGGCAUUCUUCUGUCCACUCGAAUUUAACAUCCUUUCAGAGUAAUCUGGUCAUAGAAGUAGCAAUCAUAGAGAAUCCAUUUACAAAUCAUCAGUAAUAACCAGCCAAACCCAAGAAACUUCUGACCUCAGUCACGUUCUCCGGCGGCUUCCACUCAAUAAUAGUUGAAAUCUUACUGGGAUCAACCCAUAUACCAUCACCUGAAACAAUAUGACCUAAGAAUCCAACUUCUCGAAGCGAAAACUCACUUUUACUGAACUUGGCAUACAACUGCUUAUCUCUCAGAAUUUGCAAGACUAUCCUCAAGUGCUAAGCAUGUUCUGUCUCGUUCUUCGAAUAAAUCAAUAUAUCGUCAAUAAAUACCACAACAAACUUGUCCAAAUAUGGCCAAAAUAUUCGAUUCAUCAAAUCCAUAAACACGGCAGAAGCAUUUGUCAACCCGAAUGGCAUAACUAAAAUUCAUAAUGGUCGUACCUUGUUCUAAAAGCAGUUUUAGGCACAUCUGAUUCUUUCACCCGCAACUAGUAGUACCCGGACCUCAAAUCGAUCUUUGAAAACCAUGUCGCUCCUUUCAACUGAUCGAACAAGUCGUCAAUUCUUGGCAACGGAUACUUGUUCUUGACUGUCACCUUAUUCAACUGCCGAUAGUCCGCACAUAAACUCAUAGAACCAUCCUUCUUUUUCAAAAUAAUAUGGGAGCACCCCGAGGCGAGAAACUCGGUCUCACAAAGCCUUUAUCUGUCAAUUCUUGCAACUGUGUCUUUAAUUCUUUCAACUAUGUUAGUGCCAUUCUAUACGGAGAAAUUGAGAUCGGAGUCAUUCCUAGUAUCAUCUCAAUACCAAAUUCUACUUCUCUGACAGGAGGCAAACCCGACAACUCUUCUGGAAAUACAUCCGCAAAGUCACACACAAUCGGUACUGAUUCAACUUUCUUCUCAGAUUCUUUUGUAUUCAAUACAUAUGCCAAAUAAUCUUCAUAACCUUUUCUCAAAUAUCUUUGAGCCGACAUCAAAGUAAUCAUACUAAACAAUGCUUCUGAUUCGUCUGAUUCAACCCGUAGAAUUUCACCAUUUUCACAUUUUAAUUCAAUAACCUUUUGUUUGCAAUUCAUAUAGCAUCAUGCAAUGUCAACCAAUCCAAACCCAAAAUAACAUCAAAUUCAUCAAACGGAAACAACAUCAAGUUGGCUGGAAAAUAAUGACCCCUAAUCAUCAAAGGACAUUUCUUACAUACUUUAUCAACUAUGACACAUUUGCCUAAUGGGUUCGAUACUUUAACCACAAAUUCCGUAGACUCAAUAGGUAUGUUCAUAUUAGAUACCAAUUUCAUGCACACAUACGAAUGAGUAGAACCAAGGUCGAUCAAAGCAAUAACAUUAAUAUCAUAAAGAGAGAAAGUACCGGUAAUCACGUCGGGAGACGAAACAUCUUCACGUGCCCUUAUGGCAUAAGCUCUAGCCGAAGCUCUAGCUUCAGAUUUCGACGCUGAUUCUCUGACUACAUUCUUGCUGCUUGCCUCGUUCCCAGCAUUUCUCGAAGAUCUUUCUCUUAAAACAGUACCACUUGGCUUUGUACUCUGAAAUUUUUCUUUCUCGAUCCUCUCUGGACAAUCUCUAAUAAAAUGAUCCGGAGACCCACACCGGUAACAUUCAUUAGUUCUACAAGGACCAAAGUGACUUCUACCACAUCGUUGGCACUCAGGUCUAACAAUUCUCGAAUUUCCCACACUAGCCACCGAAGUAGUUCGAGAUUUGGAACCCACAUUUUCUUCUUAUGAUCCCCAUAUGAAUGUCCCGCUGAUGUCUGAGAAUGAGAAUACAUAUCUCUGGAGUUUCUAGACUGCGAUGGGAGUGUACUGCUCAUCGGUAUUUUCUUCCAAUUUUUUGUCUCAGCCUCUAUCUUUUUCUUCUCUUUAAUUAGUUCUUCAUCCUUACAAGCCCGAUCAACAAGUACCACAAAUUCUUUUAACUCAAGAAUACCCACAAAUACCUAGAUGUCUUCAUUAAGUCCAUCUUAAAAUCGUUUGCACAUUUUAACCUCUGAAGGGAUAUAUUCUCGAGCAUACUUGCUCAAUUGAACGAACUCUCUUUCAUACUCGGUAAUUGUCAUGUUUCCUUGCUUCAACUCGAGAAACUCUUUACGCUUCUGGUCUACAAAUCUUUCGCUGAUAUAUUUCUUCCGAAAUUCUUCUUGAAAGAAUUCCCAAGUCACAUUCUCUUUUGGCACCACUGAAAUUAAUGUCUUCCACCAAUGAUAAGCCGAAUCCCUCAGCAAUGAUAUAGCACAUUUCAAGCACUCUUCAGGUGUACAAGAUAACUCAUCAAAUACCCGAAUAGAAUUUUUGAGCCAAAAUUCUGCUUUUUCAGCGUCAUUAUCAACAUUUGCCCUGAAUUCUUUGGCCCCUUGCUUGCGAAUUCGGUCAACCGGAUAUCUAUGGAAUUUCAUCAGAUCCAUACCUAAAGGAAUCUGGGGUACAGGUUGAGAAAUCGGGGGUGGUGGGGGAGGUUGUUGAGCAAUCGGGUUCGUACGAACGAACUCUGUAUACCAAGCAUUCAUCAUUUGGAGAAAGGCUUCCCGAGCCCUUUCUCCUCCUCCUUGGCUAACAGUAGGAGGUUGAUUUUCAAUCGGCACCGCCCGUUCAGCAGGAGCUGGCGCAUUGCACUCUACAUCAUCAGCCACAGUUGGAUCGGGAUCCAUUUACUAUAAAAAAUCAUUUAAAAAGGUCAGGAGUCGUCACACUAUCAUAAUAUAUAAAUAUGGCAUGUAUAGCAAAAUCCGUACUUACACCAUGUUAGCCCGAGAACUGACUAAACCUGCUCUGAUACCACCAAAUGUCACACCCGCAUACCCGAGACCGUCGUCGGAGUCGAGCACGAGGUGUUCAGGGACUUAAUUCAUUAAUUAAACAACUCAAACAAUUUAUUUUAGAAUUUCCAAACAAGCUGGCUAACUGCGUCAUAGUCGCUAAAAAAUCCAUAUCUCGAGUUAAAAAACUAAAAAUCCAAUUCCAUAAAUUUUCCCUAAAACUAGACUCAUAUAUAUAAUUACUACUUUUUUUUAUAAUUUUUGGUUAGGCAAAUUAGUACAGUUUAUUAGUUAAAGUUUCCCUUGUUUCAAGGUUCGUCUACUCUGACCCAUGUGUAUUACGAAUAAGAUAUCUCCCUAUAUAAAUCUUCAAGGACUAUUCCGUUUGUUUCUCAUAAAACUAGACUCAAUAAGGAUUUCAUACAUGUAAGGUAAAACUCCUAAUUGUUUUUUUUAAAAUUUAUGGUGAAUUUUAAAAGUCAAAACAGGGGAUUCAGAGAUUGCUCUGACCUUGUUUCAUAUAAACUUAAAUCUCACAUAAAAUAUAACUCAUUUACCUGUUUUAUUUCUUCUAUAUGAAAAUAGACUCAUCAAGAAUCGAUUCCAUAAAUUAUUCAUCAUUUAAUUCCAUUUCUACUAUUUUUAGUGAUUUUUCAAAAUCACGUCACUACUGCUGUCUAAUUCUGUUUUGUGGCCAAUUUUACGUUUCCAAGGAUAUUCAUGGUUUAGUUAAGACAUAAAGCAUACAUGUUAUCAUAUAUAAACUUGAUUAGCCAUUCCAAUAGCUAAUCAUUCUCAAACAUUUCCAUUCCAUCCAUGGGCCAUAUCGUAAGAUUAUACACACAAAAUGACUGGAAUGCUAUACAUGUCAUAUUUCCAAAAAUUUCAAGUCAUUAUACCGUGAUUGUCCAGUGAUAGUGUGAGCGUGCCUCCAACCAUCAGAAUAUAACUCAGAUACAUGGAAAGUUUGCACAUAAGUGCCACAUAUGUAGCCAAGCUACCAUGUAACCCGCCCAUAAGCGAACUCGGACUCAAUUCAACAAGCUCGGGCAUUUGCAUCUAUAAGUGAACUCGGACUCAACUCAACGAGCUCGGACAACUCAGACUCAAAUCAACGAGUUCGAAUGCCCAAAUAUCCUAAUCCAUUCCUAAGGUUCAACGGGACUUUUCUCAUUCGUACUGCUUUACCAUUCUCCUUGGAAUACCAAUGACGAUACUUCGGUAGUCUUUCACAUUUUUCACAUAAUUCAUAAAAUUUUUGCAUGUUGUCCAACAAUGACCACAAAGCAUAGAAUUGCAUGAUAACAAUCAUAAUAUCAUAUAAAUAUCAUUAAAUGAUUUAAAAUAACAGUUAUAUUACAAUAUUUACAUAUGAACUUACCUCGAUACAAAAUGAGAAUAGUCGAGCCUAUUCCUCGUAAACUUUAUUUUUCCCCCGAUCUUGACUCGAAUCUCUUUUCUCUUGAUCUAUAAUACCAAAUUAAUUUAUUUAAUACACACAUGCAUCAAAACGGACCCUACUACGAACUUUGACAAAAUUACCAUUUUACCCCUAAACUUUUACAUAUUUACACUUUUGCCCCAAGGCUCGUAAAUUAAAGCUCAUCCUAUUUUCUUAUGUUUUAUGACAUGCUAAUCAUUUUUCCCUUCUAUAGCAACAUCAAAUUCACACUCUAACAUUUACUUAAGAAUAUUAGGUAUUUGUACCAAUUAUGUUAUUUUACUCGUUUUUACGAAAAAAUCACUUAGCAAAAGUUGUUUAACACAAUCUCAAACUUCAUAUUCUGCCAUAAAACAUCAAAAUUCAUACAUAUCAUCCAUGGGUAAAAUUUUAAAUAUAAACCCUAGCUCAAAAUAUUGGUAGAAAUAGGUAAACCGAGCUACGCAGAUUUCAAAAAUGUAAAGAACAUUAAAAACGGGCAUAGAAAUCACUUACAAUCAAGGCUUAAAAGUGUUGAAACCCUAGCUAUGGUGGAGAGAAAAAUUUAGCAGCAACUUAUGGAGAAGAUGAUAAUUUUUGUGUUAUUUUUCCCAUUUUAUUUCAUUUAAUAUCCAAAUGACCAAAAUGCCCUUCCUUACUAAACUUUCAAAAAUUUCAUCCAUGUCCAAUUUUUGUCCAUAAACUUAGAAAUUGGUCAAAUUUGUAUUUAAGACCUCCUAAUUAAUAUUUCAAAGCAAUUUCAUAGUAGAAACUUCUAGAAUGCAAGUUUUGCAACUUAUUCAAUUUAGUCCCUAACUUCAAAUUAAGCACUUUAUGCAUAAAAUUUGUUCACGAAAUUUUCACACAAUCAUGAAAUCAUAUCAUAGACCUCAAAAUAAUCAUAAAAUAAUUAUUUCUAUCUAGGAUUUUGUGGUCUCGAAACCACUAUUCCGAUUAGGCCCUAAUUCGGGUUAUCACACUUUAUAACCGUUACAAGCCUUAGGAAGUUUCUAGAACCCACUUUGGAAACAACCAAUAGAUAUCAAGCACCUAGCACAACCAAACAACACAGUGCUAAGUGAUUAUUAGCAACACUUCCUUAGGAUGUGUUGUAACGGCCCAAUUUUAAUGAUACUGAAAAUGGUGGUUUCGAAGCCAUGUUUACCGAUGAUUGAGUCUAUAAGUUUUAAUACUUAAUAAUUGCUAGUCUAUUAUAUUGUUAUAAGAAAUCUUGGUGGUACAAGAAUAGCAGAAAAUGUUGUUCAAUUGAAAGCUGUUAACGUCUAGGAUCCAUCUCACUUAAAGUAUAGGUUUUUUUUCAAGAAAAAGUUAUUGCUAUAAAUAUCACAAACCGACUAGGUUUUCAAUUUUUAAUUUUCCACUGUGAUAAAAAACUAUUUUUUAAAUCGGAUUUUUUAAACAAAUGUUUCCUACUCAUCCCUAAUGACAACCAUGUUUCUCACCACCUUAUUUCUCAUUCUCUCCCCUCCAUUAUUUCUCCAAAAUUUUGGAAGAGACAAUUAAAUAUUCGUAACUAUAAAAGGCUAGCAAAAAUAAUGCACUAUGAAGCAAAAAAGUUCUUUUUAGGCUCAAAAGAAAUUUCAACAUUGAUCACACUUCAAAAUAGAUCACUUUUUUUACUCACAAUGCUUUUAAUAGAUUCAAUGCUUUAAAUCUCUCUAAAAGCUUUUAUCCCUCACCUUGUUUUUAUUCACUUAAAAUUUUUUAUUUCAACACUUUUAAGCUAGAUUCUAUACUCACUAAAUUAAACAGUCUUUUCACUUUUACCACUCAAGUGAAUAAUACGAUACCACUAUUAUGUAUCUACCUAACCCUUAAUGUCUAUGGUCUGAUGUUCAAUUCAAAGUGCAAUUAAACAAAAUAAGAUAGAGAAAGGAUUUAGUAUCAUACUCAGUUUUGGGCUCAAAGUCUCAAAGAUAGAGGUUCAUCAAGAACGAAAAAUAAGACUCUAAAUAUUAGGAACUAGGAAUGUUAUAGCAUACCAAAGGUAGUCAUUUCAGCUCUAGGCUAAACAAACAAUGCCUUAGGUCAUCCUUAGACAUCUCAACAAAUAUAAAUUCAAAACAUGCUUCUAUUUACAAUUCCAUAAAUGACAUAAAAUUCCAAACAUGUGUAUACAUCCAUCUACACAAUUAUUUAUUACAUGACAUAAAAUCUAGUAUUUCAACAUAUAAUGACAUAAAAUCUAGUAUUUCAACAUAUAAUAACCACUUUUACUCUAUCGCACAAUGUAACUAAGUGAACUAACUAAUCUAGACUAAAAAAGAAUAGAAUUUAACUAUCUUUAUGCAAAAUUUACGAGUCAAAAAAGUCAAUUAAAAUAUAUCAUAUCAAAUCAACUAAUUAUUCACAUCCACCAUGCUUAAGCACCAUUCACAAACAAAAAUAAAACAAAGGUUUUUUUUGAAAAUUUCCUAAAACAUAAAAUUAACAUACAUAAAACACAAAAUAAAGUAAAGCAAAUUCUAUGUAGCCUCCAAUUAAAUCACACAUUGUCCUCAAUGUGUUUCCAAUAAUAAUUAAGAGGUAUAAGGACUUCACUAAUUAUCAUUAGGCAAUGUGAGGUAAAGUCAAAGUUGCCCACCUCCUCGUUGAAGCUCAAAAAUGUUGUGUAAUCCUCAAACAGGUAACCUACAGAAAAAAAAUCAAAAGCAAAAGUAUGCAAAUAAUAAAAUAAAACAAAAACAAACCAAAAAAUUCAAGUUCAAAGGAUAGUGGUAUCACCUACUUCAAACUUCAACCAUAUCCUAACAUAACACUUUAGCAUCAUCAUCCUCUUUAACAACAUGAUCCUAGUCUCAACUUUGUAAACAACGCAAUCCUAAUAUCAAAUUUCUUGGAAAGUAUCAACAGUUCCCCCAAGAUAUGGCUUUACUCUUUGCCUGUUUACUAAAAAUAGUUGUCCAUCUUUUGUUCCAAGCUCAAUAGCCCCAUUGGCUAGCACACAGUUAAUUGUGUAUAGACUGGACCAUCGCAAUUGAAGUUUUCCUGGUAACAAUUUAAGUCAAGAAUUAAAUAGUAACAUUUGUCGUCCCGGGACAAAGCUCUUCUUAAUUAUGGAAUCAUGGCACAAUUUGCUUUUAUCUUUGUACAACUCGGCAUUCUCAUAUGCCAAAAAUCUAAACUCCUCCAAUUCAUCUAGUUGAAACAACCUAGUGUUUUUAGCUAAAUUAGGACCAAGAUUCAAUUUCUUAAUUGCCAAGUAUGUUUACUUUUCUAAUUCUAUUGGCAAAGGAUAGUUUUUACUGUAAACAGUAUGAUAUGGAGACAUCCCCAAUGGAGUUUUAUAAGUUGUCUUAUAAGCUCACAAUGUAACGCCCCUAACCCGUAUCUGUUGCUAGAAUAGGAUUAUGAGGUAGUACCGAUCAAUAUACAUCAUAUAAUAUACAUAACUCAUACAUUUAUGCAUUCAUACUCAAAUACCAUUCAACGCAAUCACAUUGUCCCUUAUUAGGGCCUAUGAGGCCUUAAACAUGCUUUAGAAUUAGUUCGGGACUAAACUGAUAACAUACGAAAAUUUUUGGAAACUUAGAAAUUUUUCAACCAUACAGAGGUCACACGCCUGUGUGAAUAGACCUUGUGCCUCACAUGACUCCAGACACGCCCGUGUCUUAGGCUGUGUGGAAACAGGGCAUACAUACUUACUCGGGUAACACGGCCAAUCACACACCCGUGUGUCUAGCCCAUGUGCCCUUCGAAAUGGCCACACACGUCCGUGUGCUAGGCCGUGUACUAGACCGUGCCAAAACUGUAGGGUAUACUGACUUAUGCAACACGGCCAAGUCACAUGCCCGUGUGCUAGGCCGUGUGCCAAUUAGGAAGUAUACUAACUUGUACCACAUGGCUGGUUACACGCCCAUGUGUGAGACCGUGUGGAGCAUACUAACUUCAUUCUAAUAUCAACACCAAGAGACACACGGCCAUGUAAUACGACCGUGUGUCGCACACAGCUGAGAUACACGCCCGUGUCUCUACUCGCGUGGACAAAAAUAAGCUAUUUGCAAGACCAAUUUGCCACCCCAACUUCAAUGUACCUACAUAAAGAAAAAUGUACAAUUUCCAAACAAAAAAAAAGUAGCCAAAUCAAUUCCAAUUCAUACACAAUUCAUAUCAUUAUAAUCUCAUCUAACCCAAAACUCAAUUCACUAUCAUUUACUUAGCCAAUUACAUGCCAAAACAAUACCAAACAAUAUGAAUCAUUUACCAUAAUUCAAAUAACCAUUUGAACAACUAUAAAAUCCUAACCACAUCCAUACAAAACAUAUCAAAAUAAGCCAUUGCUCAUGGCUAUAUAUUUACAUACCAAACCAUGUACAUUUACAAGCCAUUUCUAGUAGCUAAACACACAUCAAUAUUAAUAUCAUUUACAAGCCAACUCUCAUGGCUAUAAUCACAACCAAAAUACCACAUCUAGCAUAUACAUGUCAUAUACCAAAGAUGUAACACCCCUUACCCGUAUCCAAGGUCGGAACAGAGUAUGAGGCAUUACCAGACUUAACAAUACACAUAGACGAAAAUCGGGCCAUAAAAUUUCAUUUAAUUCAAAACUUUUCGAACACAUGCAUAACAAACAAAGCUAACUAUAUCAUCACAUCAAAACAUAGGACAUGGCACGAUUAAUUAAACUUAUAAACCAUAAUGGAUAAGGACCACAUCUCAUGAUUUUAUACGAUAACUCAAUGCAGACUGAUACGUAUGGUCAAAAUCAUAAUAAAAAUACAUAUCACAAACCAACUUCCUAUACAUGCCACUCACUUGAUAUUUCUAAUAUUUGAAUUAAUUUUCCCAAAAAUGAUAGUUUGAUAGUGUGAUUUUGCCUCCGACGAUUUUCAACCCCGAGCUGACCUGCCAAUACUAAAGAAAUGGAGAGGAUAGGUAAGCUUUACGCUUAGUAAGUUCAUAUGAAAAUAAUAAGCAAUUACUACCAUGCUUUUCAAGAUAAAGCACUAUAAUUGUACAAUUACACAUAUUCAGUAUAAGCUAUUUUUUGGAGUCCCAGUGUUAAAAAAAUCAUAUCUCAAGUUACAAAACUUGAAAUCCAAUUCCGUAAAUUUUUUAUGAAACUAGAUUCAUAUGUAUACUUACUAAUUUUUUUCUAGAAUUUUUGGUCAGGCAAUUUAGUACAGUUUAUUAGUUAAAGUCUCCCCUGUUUCAGGGUAUGACUACUCUGACCCCUGUGCACUACGAACCGAAUUUCUCCCUGUACAGAAUUCCAACAACCAUGCCGUUUGUUUCCCUUAAAAUUAGAUUCAAGAAGGAAUCCACGCAUGUAAGGUAUGACUCUCAAUAAUUUUUUUACAAUUUAUGGUGAAUUUCUAAAGUCAAAACAGGGGAUCUCGAAUUCAUUCAGACCCUAUUUCACAAGAAUUCAAAUAUCACACAAUAUAGAAUUCUUUUGUUUCCUCUGUUUCUUUAAUGUGAAAAUAGACUCAUUAAGCUUUAUUUCCAUAAUUUUUUUAAAUUUAAUUCAAAUUAGACAAUAUUUUGUGAAUUUUCAAAGUCAUGCAAUGCUACUGUCUAAUAUUGUUUUACUACUAAAGUUCACUUUUACACAAUUUCACUUAAUCCAUUCCAUUUUACCGAGGUUCGCUCAAAUAUUGAGCAUAUUACUCAUAAAUUCAAAUAAGCAUAUACUUGCACUUGUUCAUCACAUAAUCACUUUCACAUGUAUUUUCAUUUAAUCGAUUUCCCGUUGAACUCAUCGAAAUAAUAACAGAUACACAAUUGCCUGCACAUUUUCCCAUUUCCACACUUGUAGCCGAAGCUAUCUGGUACACAUAGUAGCUUGCACUUAGUACUACACAUGCGACCAACAGUCUGGUACACGUAUUAGCCUGCACUUAGUACUACACACGUGACCUCACCAUCUAAUACACAUAGUAGCCUGCACUUAGUACUACACAUGCGACCUCACAAUAGAUCAUUCGUAUCAUUUUUAUUCCGAAGGUUCAAUCGGGAAAUUCCUCACUUUUCAACAUUUUACUAAAUUGUCCGUAAUCAAUUUAAAUUCAUAAUUUACAUCAAAUAACCAUUUGAUAGGCAGCGACAUUUCAUAUGAUAUCAAAAUAUAAUAACAUAAAAAGAAUCGAUAGACUAUUUAUGUACGAAUUUACUCGAAGUGUCGAUUUCACUAUCCAUAGUACCAAUUGUCCAUUCAUAGUAUAAUAAGACACAACUCAAAUAUCAAAUCAGCUUUUAAGAAUUUACAUAACAUAUAUCACAUAUUUCAUAUAACACUUGUCAUGUAUCUUCAUUUUCUUGCAUUUCAUGUAACAUUCUUUCAUGUCAUAAUUCCACAUCAUAAACACCGUUCCAUCAAUUUUUCCAAUAUAUUAAAUCAUAAAAUAGAUGCAAUAAUAGUAAGAAAUAUAAUUCAAACAUAACAUUGCAUUAUUAUUAUCAUACGAACUUACCUCGAUCCAGAAACAGCAAUUUACCAUUUUAGUCCAUAACCUUGUAUUUUCCCGAUUUAAGCUCGAAUCUCGAUUUCCUUCAUAAUCGAACUUGGAAGCUUGGAAACCCUAGCCAUGGAGUCUCCCUUGGUAUACACGUCCAUGGUGAAGAAGAUGAGCAAAAUUGUCUUUCUAUUUUGUAUUUUAAUUCAUUUUACCCCUAAAUGACCAAAAUGCCCUUACUACUAAACUUUCCAAAAAUUCCAUUCAUGUCCAAUAUUUGUCCAUAAACUUUGAAAUUGGUUAAAUUUCUAUUUAAGACCUCCUAAUUAAUAUUUCAAAGCAAUUUCAUACUAGAAACUUCUAGAAUACAAGUUUUACAACUUAUUCAAUUUAGUCCCUAUCUUCAAAUUAAGCACUUUAUGCAUAGAAUUUUUUCACGAAAUUUUCAUACAAUCAUGGAAUCAUAUCAUAGACCUCAAAAUAAUCAUAAAAUAAUUAUUUCUAUCUCGAAUUUGUGGUCACAAAACCACUAUUCUGAUUAAGCCCUAAUUCGGGAUAUUACAAAAGAUGUUUAACUCAAAAGUACCAACUUAGAUGUUUGAUAAUGUGAUGAUGUUCUCGACGACUCCCGGAUUCAAGCUAGCUUGAUUCACUAUAAAACAUAGAAAAAUCACACAAAGUAAGCUUCAUAGCUUAGUAAGCUCGUAUAUGAAUAACUUAAUUCAUUGCAUAAAUACAAAUCAACCAACUACACAUAACAAAUCUAUAUACACAAUAACUACAAACCUUUCUCAUGUCUCAAAUCAUGAUCAAAUACAAUCUUAUCAAACUUUCAUUGUUUAAUACUUGAAUAGGUUUUGUACAUACCUAUAUCGCCUUUUACUAACCUCUUUCUCAACCACAACAUUUGUUUACCCAUUGAACCAUUUAGAAUAGAAAUCGGAUACUCAUAAAUCUCGUACGAUAAGUACCUAUACCAUGGCCCAUAUCCAAAUCAAGAUAACUUAUUCGAAGAACUAUUUUCAUGGCCCGAAGCCAAAACAUCCGAUAUGCAUGGCCCAAAGCCAAAUCGGUAUAACUCGUACCCGAAGUGCUAAUAAGAUGGCCCGAAGUCAACUCAUCCGAUAUGCAUAGCCCGAAGCCAAAUUGGUAUAUCAUCUUAUAACAUGUCACCAGUAUCCAAAUCUAUUCCUAAAGUUCAACCGGGAUUUUUAGCUUGUUGAUUCCAUCUUCUAAUAUAUCCGUAAAAUCAUAUUUACAAUUCAUACAUUAAUAAAAAUCUCAUAAUCACAAUUUAGACAACAUCAAAGCAUUUAACAUACAUUUAUAAGGAAAACGUCACAUACGAACUUACCUCAAGUAUGAAAACGGCGAAAUGAGUCAAUUACUCGAUAAUCUUACCUUUCUCUCGAUCUAAUUUCGGAUUCCUCUUUUCUUGAUCUAAAUAUAUUCAAAAUUAACUUCUUUAACCAACCACUCAUUCAAUUUAGUCCAAAACAUAAUUUAGGCUUAUUUACAAUUUAGCCCCUAAACUUUUACACAUUAACAAUUUAGUCCUUAUUUCACAAAUACACAAAAUUCACAUAUUUUCAUUAAAUCCAAGCUUUUCUAAAUUAUAUAUGGGUCCCUAGCAGCCCAAAAAUUUCAUUUAUUUCGCAUUUCAACCACUCAAUUUGCAUAUUUCACAAUUUUAUCUCUAUUAUGCAUUUUCAUCAAAAAUCACUUUACAAAACUUGAAAAUCUAUCAUCAAGCUUUCAUAUUUCAUCUUCAAAUACCAAAGAACACAUAAAAUCAUCAAUGGAAACUCUUAAAAUCUUUAACAGUUUCACAAUUAAAGGUACGGACUAGCUAGAUUGAGCUGCAACGAUUACAAAAAAUAUAGAAAUCAUCAAAAAUAGAUCAAAAAUCGUACCUUAAUUGCUUGAAUUUGCCUAGCUGAAUGAAAAACCCUAUCUUAUCUUCUUCUUCUUUUAAUUUUUGAUGCAUGAAUAUGAGAAUGAAGCUUUAAUUAGCUUUGUUUUAUUUAUUUUAACCUUUAAUAACCAAAUUACUAAACUAACCUUAUUAUAAAUCAUUUAAUAUCAUCCAUUUAAUGUCCAUAUAAGUCCUCUAACAUUUAAAAUGGUAUAAUUUUCAUUUAAGGCCAUCAAAUUUAAAACCAAAGCUAUUUGGCACCUUUAACAAGUAGAAUGCAACUUUUGCAUUUUACUCGAUUUAGUCAUUUUUCUCAAAUUGAGCAAUUAAACAAUAAAAUUAGCUCACGAAAUUUUCACACAUAUAAAAUAACAUGCUGUAAACAUAAAAAAUAAUAUUAAAAUAAUUUUCUAACGUCAAAUUUGUGGUUCCGAAACCACUAUUCUAUUUUAGCUCAAACCGGGUUGUUACACACAAUGCAUCAUCUAAUUGAACCAACCAAUUUUUUUGAGAUGAGUUCACUCUCUUCUCAAGGAUUUGAUUAAUCUUAUGAUUUGAUACAUCUUCUUGACCAUUGGCUUGCGGAUGGUAAGCAGUUGCAAUUCAGUGCUUUUCUCUUUGUACAACUUGGCAUUCUAAUUUGCCAAAAAUCUAAAUUCUUUCAAUUCAUGUAGUUGAAACAACCUAGCGUGUUUAGCUAAAUUAAUAUCAAGAUUUAAUUCUUUAACUGCCCAGUAUGCUCUAUUUUCUAACUCUAUUGGCAAAUGAUAGGUCUUUCUGUAAACACUAUGAUAGGAGACAUCCCCAAUAGAGUUUUAUAAGUUGUCUUAUAAGCUCACAAGGCAUCAUCUAAUUAAACCAUCCAAUUUUCCCAAGAUGAGUUCACUAUAUUCUCAAGGAUUUGCUUAAUCUCAUGGUUUGAUACCUCUGCUUGACCAUUGGCUUACGAAUGGUAAUCAGUUGUAAUUCGGUGCUUAACACUAUACUUUGAUAAAACAUUUUCUAAUUACUUACUGCAAAAAUGUGAAUCUUCAUCACUUAAGAGUGCUUGAGGAGUCUCAAAUCUCAAGAAAAUGUUCUUACGUAAAAAUUUUACGACUGCCUUAGUAUAAUUUGUCGACAAGGUCACUACUUUUACCCACUUGGGAACAUAAUUCACUACCAACAAAAUGUACUAAUUUCUUAAUGAAUUCAAGAAUGGCCCCAUGAAGUCAAUCCCCAUACAUCAAAAACUUCAACUUCCAAAAUCCCUUUUUGAGGCAUCUUAUCAUGCUUAGAAAUAUUUCUUGUUCACUGACAUUGGUCACAUCAUCUUACAAAAUGAUAAGUAUCCUUAAUCAUAGUUGGCCUAUAAAACCCUAAUCCUAAAAUCUUUCAAGUACUCACUUUUCCUCCAAAAUGUCCCCUAUAAGGUGAGGCAUGACACCUGACCAAAAUAUCAUUAAUAUAUCAUGCCCUAUCUAAAGUGAUUGACAUUGUGUCCAAUCACCACCCUAGUUGUAUAGUCUAGGCCUACCAUGGAAGAAUAAUCUAUUAACAUACCCUACGACCACCAAUAGGAUAGUGACACGUGGCACUUUGGGAUCCUAUUUUAGAAUAUAUAAACCCUUAACUCCCAUACAUUGGGGGAUCCUCUCUCUCUCUCUCCUCUUUCAAUAGUCAUUCUCUCCCUUUCAUUAGCCAAAUUCCAACCAAGCUCUGACCACCUUGCAAAAUAGCUCUCCACCUAACCUUAAGUCAGGUGAACUGCUAUACAUCAUCAUCAUCAUCUUCUGUUAUUUGAUUCAUCAUAAAUAUAUAUAAUACCUAAUAAUGUGGCACAAUUUAUUUCUCACCACAACAACUAAAAUUUCAAUAUUUAUUAAGAUUGAAAAUUGUUGACUGAGCAUUUCCUUUAUACACUCUCAUCAUUAAGCAAAACUUUGUUUGAGUUUUUCUUGUUCAUUUUGCUCCAUUUUCUUGAUUUCUCUUAGUUCUUUUAAUAUCAUAUUAGGGGUUUGAUUUUUUCCUAUCUUCUUUUUUUCUUGAUUUUUUUCCCAAAUAAUUUUUAACAUUUAAUUUUAGAAUGCAUAAAGCAAAUAGACAAUCAUUAAGAUGAUUAUAAGGGCAAUGGGCAUGUGUUCUACAUUGAGAUCACUUUUGCCUCAAACUUAAUUAUUUUUUGUUUAACAUGAUGGAUGUUUCUUGAUUGUCUUUACAAUUUUAUUUUCUUAUAAAUGUUUUAUCCCAUUUGCGACUUAUCCUUCUAAAUUAUCAUACCCAAACACUAUGAAUGCACUAAAAGGCUAUUAGAGUCUGGGACCAAGCCAAUACAAGACCUUAAGUUUAAAUCCUUAUGGCCCAGUCAUAAAUCUUCAUUUUACAUUGUGUUGGUUGUGGUUCUCAUAUCGGUUUCGUAUAGUUUCUUUAUUGUUUUUGUAAACAAAAUUGUUGUGUACUAUUGUUUUUUGCCAUCGUAUAUAUCUGGCAGCAAGGGUGAAGUUAGAAUAUUUUUUAGUGGGGCGGAAUUAAAUUGUAUAUUUUUACUAUAGUAAAAAUACAAUUUCACUAUUUUAAUAGCCUAUGUCAUUUUAAUUUUAAAUGAUUAAAUAAUUUUUUACCAUUUUGGGAUGGGACAAAGUGUAAUUUUAUUAUAAAGAGUGCAAAUGAAAAAUUUUCCAUUCAAAAGAGGGCAAGAUCCCUGCCAAUCCCUAACUCCCCACUACCUCGCUGGCCUUGGGGUUUUGAAUCAAUCAUGUUUUUGCUGUUGUUAUAUAUAUAUAUAUAUUAUUAAUGUUUUAAUAAUUCAAACGUUAAAUUUAGCAAUAAAUUAUAUUUAUCAUGCAUGUAAAAUUUAAAAUUGAUCCAAUAUUUUUAUGAUAUUGAUUUAAAUACUAUCUACAUUAAUAUAUAUUUAGUGAUUGAAAUUUAUUUUUAUAUAAAAUAAAUAAUUAUAUAAUUUUAAUUUAUUCCAUAUUUAAUAGUCACAAUUUACAUAAAUGAAUAAGAAAUAUAAUGGCUAGAUUUAUAAAUAUCAAUCCAUACCGGCCAAGUUUAUUCAACCCAGUAAAAGAACAAUAUAAAAAGAAACCCAAAUAAAAUGAAGCAGUGCCAGUGAAAGAAAGAGUUUUCCUUCAAAAAAGUGAAAAAGUCCACCAAGACUUUGUUGUUCUGUUCUAUAGUGGCCUUUUCUUGGGCCCGUUUUAAUAUUCAAACAACAAUACUGCGAAUGUUUUAACUUUCAAUUCAGGUGCCAAAAACGAAAACAAUUCGACUCGUUUCGCUGUUUCGUUAAAAAGACAAUCGAUCUUCAUCAAGUACCAAGUGACUGGGUUAUUCCAGAGGUGGCUCAUGAGACCCAUAAGGCUUCCUGAACUGCCCAUAGGACGGAGGAGCGCGGCGGAGGUGUUCGAAGCGGGGAUUUAUGGGAUAAUCAAACGGGUUGUUGUGAUUGGAAAUGGCUUCUCGGGAGCUGAGAAUCAAUGCAUCGGUUUGGUUCGGGCUUUAGGCCUCUCGGGUUGUCAUACUUUAUAUGUAAGCUUCUCUUUAUAUCUUCCUCUUUGACUGUUCAUUUCAAAACUCAGUUCUUUUAAUCUAAUAAUUGUGUGUCUUUUACACGUCCCAAGAUUCAAAUUGAAAUACAGCUAUUUGUAAGCAAUGGGAAAUUUUGAUUUGUUAUUAUUUAUAUAGUAUUUGUUUAAUAUAUUAUGCAGCGUGUUACAAGGCCAAGAGGAGGAAUCAAUAAGUGGCUACAUUGGCUUCCGGUUUCUCUUCAUAAAAAAUUGGAUUAUGUUAUGAGGCAAAUUUGCAUCUAUUCAGGAGUUCAAGUGGAAGCUGGAUGGAGUAAAGUGGUUCCUUUUACAAUUGAAAAAACUGGUAUCUGCUUUCAGCUCUCAAAUUAUAUGGUUUCAUAUUGCAGUACCAAAGAUGGCACCCUUUUAUGUUGAAGAAGUCUUUGAUUUGUCCUUUUUUUUUUGUCCCCCGCCCCCCCCCCAAAAAAAAAAAUCAAAAUUCAUAUGAGAACUACAGGGUUGUCCAGUGUAAUAGAAGCUGAUGCAAAACAAAUUGCAAUGAUGGCACGGGAUACAUUUGAGAAGUAAAUUCUUCCAACUUGAAUUUCUUUGUUUGCUACUACUUUUUGUUGCACAAUGUGACACUUGACGUUGAAGCUAUGUGAUUUAGCUUUCUAGUGGCAGUUCUUUCUCUUGUGAUUAUUUUCUUAUUUUAUUUUACUCUAUUAGGGAGGGCCCUCUGUUGGUCAUCGCGUCUGGUCGGGAUACAAUCUCUGUUGCGAGCUCCAUUAAACGGUUAGCCACAGAAAAUGUUUUUCUUGUUCAGGUUAAACCUUUUUUUUUUUUAAUUCUCUUUUCCUCUUUGUUUAUAUUUGAAUGUGAGUUUUUAUUGGAGUUUCCACUAGGUGCUUGAUAUACAAGGCAAUUUGUAUGUUUCCUUUGAAGUUAUUCAACUGUUUCGACUUUGUAGACCUGGGUGAUUUCACAGUACGUUAAAAGUUUAAAAGGUGGUCAGAAUGUUCAACCUUUUAUAUAUUUCUUUUCAGAUACAUAUUGGCUUUUAUAUUUCUCAUAAGAAAAAAUCCAAGAAAAUGGCCUGAAAUUGUUUAUUCAUUAUGCCGGUAAUCAUAUGUUUUUUUCCUUUUUAGAUGCACAUACUGCAAUUUGUGGUUUUAUAUAUAUUUUUCUUUGAUUCAAUUUUCAGAUACAACAUCCACGGUCACGGCUGAAUAGGUUUGAUUUAGUGAUUACUCCUCAGCAUGAUUAUUAUCCAUUGACUCCUCAUGGACAGAGACAAAUUCCUUGGUUUCUCCGGAGGUGGAUAACUCCUGGCAGACCUCCUGAUAGACAUAUGGUAUGUAUUUAAGUUGUAAAUACUGAGAAGGCAUCUUGACAUAGGAGUCUCUUUGCUGGCUGUUAAGUUAUAGUUUCUCUUGUCAUUGGUUGGUUGGUAUGUAGCUCAUCGGUAGUUGUUUCUGAAUUUCAGGUUCUCACUGUGGGAGCUCUUCAUCUGGCUGAUUCUGCUGCAUUAAGAAGUGCUGCUUCAGUCUGGCAUGAUGAACUGGCUCCGCUUGCGAGGCCCUUGCUUGUUGUCAACAUUGGAGGGCCAACAAGUAAUAUUUAGUGCAUCAUGGAGUUUGUUAUCAUUUUGAUCAAUCAUCUUUUUAAGUCUCUAACUUCUUUUUGGAUAAUGCAGUUGCUUUAUGUUAACUGAUACUUGCUAAUUUGCAUCUUUUAUUGUAGUUAUACUUGUUGUUUGAAAUGUAUUAAAGUAUCCUUUGUAUAUGUAGGAAUGUUGUUUGUUUAUAACAUAAUAUUAAAGAAUCCGAUGGCAAUUAUAAAAUAGAAAAUGAUUUAAUCUCGUUCACAGAUAUCCACCAGCAUCAUGUUCCAUUGUCAUUGUUGAACUCAUUUAAAUGCUCUUUUUUUCAGUCAUAUUUUUCACUUUUCAUAAUGAUAUAGGCAAAAGAAUCUGAUCAAUGAACUUUUCUAAUAUCCAGUCGUCAAACCCCAAAUUUCUUGUAAUAAUUUGAUUUUGUCAUGAGGGCUUUUUCACUACAUAAGAGCGUUUUAAUUGAAUUAUUGUUUAAAAGAUUGAAUGAAUUAUAUCUUCUGCAGAAUAUCUACCAACCUUCCUUUGAGACUUUUAUCUAGUAGUUUUUUAUAUGCUAAAUCAAAAGAUUUACGCAGGCAGCUGUCAAUAUGGUGCGGAUCUUGCAAAGCAGUUAAUAGCUAUGCUGCAGAAUGUUCUAUGGAGUUGCGGCAGCGUCAGGAUAUCUUUCUCGAGAAGGACUCCUGAGAAGGUAAAAACACUUUGAAAGUUUCUGUUUGUCAAAUUUGUCAACAAGAACUGACGUUAUUGGUUUUCUAACGAAUUCUUGGAUUCUUCUUGAGAAUUACACCAAUAGGUAUCAAAAAUCUUAUUGAAGGAGUUUAGUUCUAAUCCAAAGGUUUACAUUUGGGAUGGUGAAGGUAAACUGUUUCCAGUCUUCUUAAGAGAUUUCCCUCCCCUCCUUUUCAUGGUAGCUAAGUUUAUUCACCCCAUCAAUUGAUGAUAUGUUGUUUAGGUCCUAAUCCACACAUGGGACAUCUGGCUUGGGCUGAUGCUUUUGUUAUCACAGCAGACUCGGUAAGCAUGUUGAGUGAGGCUUCCACUACAGGGUAGGUCUUGAAAACUGUAAGCCACAUCCAAUUAUUAACAGGUUAUAUUGGUUUUUUGAAUUUGAACAUCCUCGUUACAAUCCACUGUGCUUCAGAAAACCAGUCUAUGUUAUAGGAGCUGAGAGAUGUACAUGGAAGUUUGCUGACUUCCAAAAGUCUCUGUGGGAACGAGGAGCAGUUCGUCCUUUCACUGGCAAAGAGGAUGUAAGUUUUUUGAUGCAUGUAAAUUUCAAUGUUCCUUCUGAUUUAUUAAAGAAAGCCACCACAAAUUUUCUCUAGCAACUGGAACUGCCUGGCCUUAUUUCUGGAAUAUCUCAAGCAUGUAAUUUUACACGCCUGCUGAAUAUGUUGGUUUUACAGAUAUCUGAGAGCUGGAGCUAUCCACCGUUAAAUGACACAGCAGAGGCCGCUAGCCAGGUGAUGAAGGCACUUGCUGAUCGAGGAUGGACAAUAGACGCAUAAUCUGCUUUCAGUGCUCGAUUUUUAUCCAAGCUUUUGCAAUUGCUUCCACCUUUGAACAGAGUUUAAUCCAGUCCGUACCAACUGAUUGAUCUUCUUUUGCACACAUGUCCAAGUGAAGACAUAUCAGAAAAGUUUUUACUGUAGUUCUUUUUCUUUCACAAUUAAUUUUGUCACACCUUGCUUCUUGUUGACACCACAAAAAUUUUGAGAGUGUAAGGUAAAAGAGACAUGAAUUCUACUUUGUUCAUUAUAUUUUGAUCCAAAGGCAAAUGGAUAAAAGAAACACACUUCUGUUCCGCUCUAUCUGGUUUGUAAAAUCUAAAACCCCCACAGUUUCUACAUCUUGCCUGAAUCAACCUCAUCGAAACAUGACAUAAAUGGAAAACAAACUUACAGACAAGCUUGAAAAAAUUCAAGCUUCAUCAGAUCCGUGAAUAUCAUUUAUUAAAUGUGAUUAUAUGAAUCAAUUGAGUCCGGGUUCAUUCCCUAUAUAAAAGUCCAUUUUGAUUUGUUGUUGGUUUAGGCAAUGACCAAUUUUGGGAGUGUUGGAUUAGGGAGGUCAGGUGGAGUUUAGUUGAGAGAUUAAGAGAAUUAACUUUUAUUUCGUGAGUUGGUAUUUUUGUCGUAGUUUUGUUUGCCUUUGAUUACAAGCUCCUACUCCAUUUCUAUUAAGUGAAAGCAACACUUGUAAAUGACCAAAAACUUGGCUCUUGCAACCUCUCAGCUCAUCUAAAUUUAUCAUAAUUUUAUACCCAUGUUUAAAUACAUAGAAUAUCAAAGUAAAUGAAAAAUUAGGUAUCAUAAAUUCUGACGAUAACUUACAAAAUGCUAAUUAAAAUAUACUAAUUUAAGCCAAUUACGUCUAUAUCCACUGCGAUUACCUCUACCAGCUUCAAUGCUAUAUGUGGAGAGAGCCCUACUCCAUUAUAAUAAAAAAAACAUAUAUAUUUAAUUAUGAAUUUCAUUCUUUAUUUAACAAAUCUAAAAAUUUACUCUGCCAAAGUUUUAUAAGGUAAAUAACACAAUUCAUCACCAAAUUUCCGUAAGUUUACAAUUUAAGCACCAAAAAAUAAAAAUAAAAAUAUUCAUUUUAGGCAUCAUGAUCAAAAACUAUUUUCAUUUUAGGCACUACCAUUAAAAACUAUUCUCAUUUUGGUCACCCGCUAUUAAUUCAAUGUUGUACAAUAAUUUUAAUCACCCAACUUUAAUAAAUUUUCAUUUUGGUCACUUAUUUCUUUUUUUAAAUUAAUUUUAUUUUUUUCAAAAAAAACUUUGGUUUUCAUAAGAAAUUGAGUUAUUCAACUACGGAGGUAAAACUUAGGUUUUCCUUGUAACUCUAUUCCUUGUAAAAACUCAAGUUUUUUUUUGUAAAAGAACAAAUAAUUCACUAGAAAAAUUCAGGUUUUCACUCGUUACUAAAAAAAACUAAAAUUAAUUUUAAAAGAGGGGAAAAAGGAAAUGAAAAGGGUAAAAUGUUUUUUUCCAAUAAAAACCCGUGUUACCUAUAAAAACCUAGGUAAUUCUUUAUAAAACCCCAUGUUUUUUCUUUUUACGGGAAAAUGAAAAGUUUAAAAUUAAUUUUAGAAAAUGAAAAAUUAAAUGAAAUUAAAAAGAUAAAAUAAGCGACCAAAAUGAGAAUUUAUUAAAGUUAGAUAACUAAAAUUAAUUUAUGAUAACAUUAAAUUAAUGAUAAGUGAUCAAAAUAAAAAUAUUUUUUAACGACAGUGCAUAAAAUAAAAAUAGUUUUUAACAAUAAUGCUUAAAAUGAAAUUUUUUAUUUUUUAGUGCCUAAAAUAAAAAAUUUUAAAAAUUAAAUGAUUAAUUGUAUAAUUUACAUACUUUAGUACUUAUACGUAACAUGAAAAUCAACAAUAUAGUAGUUUACAUGUAAUGAAUUAGCAAAAAUAAGUAUUCUAAUAAGAUGUACAUAACAUAUUAGCAAAAAUCUAUAGUUUAAGUCUAUAUGCUUACCAACAAUUGGGCUAAUUUCUCAGAAUUAAAUUUUGUCAAUUAAAAUAAAUAGAUUGUCUUUUCAAUUUUUAAAAAAUAAAUAUAUCAAAUUCGACCAAUAGAAUUAUAAGCUAAUCAUCUAUAAAAACUUCAUCCAUUCAACCAAUUUCCAUCACAAAAACAAAGCUUCAACUUCUCUUUUAUUGUAUAGUUCUCAAAUUUCCUCUAUUUUCCCUCCCAAAACAAAAGAAAAGAAAAAAAAAUGAUGAAGAGCAGUGAUCACUCAAGCAUUAAUGUGGCAGAGUCGAGCGGCGUUGAAAAAGGCAAAGGAUCACUCAUUGCUACAUCCAGGGAGCAAAAGAAGGGAUUCAAGAAAGGGUUGGGUAUUUUGGACUUCCUUCUGAGACUAGGAGCCAUUAUUUCAACUAUAGCCGCUGCUGCUACCAUGGGAACCAGUGAUGAAACUCUUCCUUUCUUCAGUCAAUUCUUCCAGUUCGAAGCCAGUUAUGAUGAUCUUCCCACACUUAUGUACGUUGCUUAGUCAUAACAUAUGUAUAAUGACAGCUAGAUAUUGUUGAAGAAAGAUUGGAAUAUAAUGAGAUAUAUAUACAUAUAUAAUCAAUUUAUUUGCAGGUUUUUUGUGAUCGCAAUGGCACUAGUUGGCGCAUAUCUCGUCCUUUCCCUUCCUUUCUCCUUAGUUACCAUCGUCCGCCCUCACGCAGUUGCGCCGAGACUCCUCCUUUUCAUUUUGGACACUGUAAGCAUUCGCAUGCAUGUUCGGAAAUUCCCAUAUGAACCUACCAAAAUCAAUAUAUUAACGUUUCGGUUGAUGUGUAUAUAUAUGGAUGUAUAUGCACAUGGCAUGCAGGUGGUAUUGACUUUAGCAACCGCGGCCGGCGCAGCGGCAGCAGCCAUAGUCUACUUGGCUCAGAAUGGGAACCCGAACACAAACUGGCUAAGCAUCUGCGACCAAUUCGGUGAUUUUUGCCAGGGUGUGAGCGGCGCUGUGGUGGCAUCGUUCUUUACUGUUGUGGUUCUGAUGUCGUUGAUUCUUCUGUCUGCUUUUGCCCUCAAAAAGCACUAAAACUAUAAAAGAGAUUGCUGAAGAGAACAAGCAUGAGCGAUCGAUUUACAUUUAUUACAACUUGAUAUAAAGCUAUAUGUUUCAUUUGGCAUCAAUCUACCGUCAUGUAAAGCUAUAUGUUUAAAAAUUUUAGUUUAAGAUUAAAGAAUUAAUGAAUUUGUACCUAAUGUAGUAAAGGUUCAAUUCUUAUUUAGAAGAAUGAAAUUCUAUUGAGAUUUGGAGAUAUUUCAUAAUCAAUUAUUUACUUCUUUGAAUAUUUGGGUUAACACACGUGGGUGUGAAUGCCUUGAUAUCAGCAAAAAAUAGAAUUUAUUUAUUGAUUUUUUUGAAACUUUUGUAAUGUAAUCAAAUAAGUUAUUUAUUUUUUAGGCCAUUUGAUUCACAAAAUGUGUGUGAUUUACUUUUUAACACAUCUGUUUUAUGAAAUGUAAUAUUAUUUCUGUUAAUAAAAUUAUCAAAAUGAUAAAAAAAAGAAGAAGAUAAAAUUGAUAUAAAAGUAAUAUUUCGAGCAAAUUAUAAUAGUCAAAAUGUAAUAAUAAACGAAAUAUUAGUCCUAUAAAAUAAUAAAUAAAUAUGAUUGAAAUAUUUCUUGAAAAUUAUAUCAAAUAACUAGACAUUUUGAUUUAUUAAUUAUUAUACUAUUAUUUUGUUUUUAAUUAAGUAAAAUAAAUCCAUAGUAAUUUUUUUUAUAUAAGGGACAAAACUAAAUUACUACCAAACUUCCUUUCAACAAUUUAAAUAGUAAGCAAUGUAGGCAGCAUCCUUUGCAUCUCCUUAUCCUGCAGUCCUUGCAAUAUAGUCUCCGGCAGAUCGGGAAAGGCAUAAGGGCCAAUCGGUUUGUUGAGCAUUGUGGCUGCCAUGGCGUCAGCAAGACAAUUUCCCUCUCUAUAUGUAUGGAGUAGUUGCACUUCCCAACAUCUUCUCAACAAUUCCAUGAUGGCUCGGAUAACCCCGCUCAACACCAAACUAUCACAUUCAGUCUUAAGUAGCUUUAACAAUUCAAGAUUACGCAUUUCCAACAUUAUCUGGCGAAGACCAACGUUCCACGCUUGAGUUACUGUCAAAGACACCCCAACGCUUCCGCUUCUAGCACUGUGCAUCUGCCAACCGCUCGAGCAAAACCCAACACCUAAACUCCUGCAUGAUCACGAUAGAUUUGACACCUUCUCUAAGCACAUGGCUUACAUCCUCCUCCUCAACACCAAAGAUUUAGCACUUUGAAUCCGAUGUAAGAUUUGUUUUUGUCUUGAGACAGAAUCGCCUUUGUCUUAAGAUAAUUAGACAUCAAGCCUAAAAAAGAUUUGUUCAGUUUCAUAUCUCAAGACAAUUAGUGGCGAAGUUAGGGGGCUAACAAGGGUCUCGGCCCCUAAAAUAAUUUUUUUAUUUAAAUUUUUUAUAAUUUAUAAUAUUUUAAAUUAAUAAUGAUAAAGUUACACUUUGACCACCCCAAAACGAUAAAAUUUUGAUUUAAUCUUUUAAAAAUUAUAAAGGCAUAGACUAUUAAAAUAAAAAAAUUGCUGUUUUACUAUCAUAAAAAUAUACAAUUUAAUUCUAACCUCCAAACAAUAAUUUUCUGGCUCAAUCACUAGAGAUGAGAACCCCUUGUAUCGAGACAUUUCAACAUCGAAUUAAAAAUAGAAAAAUAGGAGAGGCCUGUCUGGAGACAUGCUAUCAUCAAAAAUAAAAUUGUGGCUUGUCUUGAGACAUUGAGUCUCUAUCUCGAAACAUAAUGUUAAAACUUGAAAAUUGAAUUUGGAUUCGAGUUUCAACUCUCAAAUUGACUUACUAUCACCAAGUAACUCAAUGAAUUGUAUUAUUACACCAUAUGAAUGUAAAAUUGUGAUUGAAAUGGAUGAUCAUUUUGAUACGAAUGGUAAUUGAAUUCUAAAUGAUAUGAGAAAGAAAUAAGUUAAUUUGAAUUGCUUCGGCAACGUAAUAUGAUAUCUCACAUUUAAAUUUGGCGACCAAAUCAAAUGUGAGGUGUUACAUUAACAACUCAACAUCCCAAUUAUUAUUAGGAAAAAUAAGAGAACAAAAAUAUUGAAAAAAAUUUAAUUUACAAUAGUAUAUGUUAGGAUCGUCCCGAAUAAGCAACGAACAAGUAAAAAUAGUAGAAGAAAUUGAGAAGAUGAACACACAAAUUUAACGUGGAAAAACCCCUCAAAAGAGGAUAAAAAACCACGGGCAAAGAUAAUUUUACUAUAAUGGCAAAAGAAUGAAGAGUACAAAAGAUGGAGAUAAAAACUAAACCCCGAAAACCCGAAAAACAAAGAACCCUCAAACAUAAACACAAAAUUCUCUGAAUGUGUUAUGAGUUCUAAUCUAAUGGGUGUCUCUUAAUUCUAAGAUUGUAAAGGAGCCUAUUUAUAGGCUAAAUUAGUAAGUCAAAUAAACUAUACUAAUAAAUGCUAAAUAUAUUAUACUAAUAAAUACUAAAUCUUCUAGAAAGAAAAUAUAUUUUUGUUUAACUUGACUUGCAAGCAAUCUCUUAGAAUUUGGGUCACACAAUUCUAACAAUCUCCACCUUGACACGAAUUCUUUCAAUGCCAUCUUUGCCAAAACCCGCCACGGGCCUAUCUUGAACUAUGCAGGGAAUUAACUGAGUUGAAUCUAUGCUUAGAAGCUGGAAGACUUCUAGCCUUCGACUUGUGCACUGCCAAAUCAAAACUAACCCAGGUCUGAUUUUCACGAAUACAGUGCCCUAACUUUUCAAAACCUGCAUCCAAAAGAGAACCUCUCUUCAACGAAACGGUCAUACCUUUUCCCUCCUAUGACCAAGUUGCCUCCGCUUCAAAUGAGUUGACUUUGACUCCGUAACGGACGAGGGACGUCCGAUUUCACUGGUCACUGUAGAACCUUCCAGAAUAUAAAGACUGCCGGUUCUUUUACCUUUUAACAAAACGAGAGCUCCACGAGAUACUUUAAUGUCGCUCGACUCGAUGUUGAUUCUGCAUCCUUUCAAGUCUAAAAUACUUAAGGAGAUGAGAUUCUUUCGUAAAUCAGGUACAUACCUGACAUCUGAGAGUGUCCUAAUCGUCCCAUCGUGUAUCCUAAUUUUAAUAGUACCAAUACCGAUUAUUUUACUAGAUGAAUCGUUUCCCAUGUGCACAACUCCACCUUCAACUGAACUGUAUGUGGAGAACCAUUCUCUAUUGGGACACAUGUGGAAAGAACAUCCUGAAUCUAGGAUCCACUCAGACGUAAGCUUGGAGUUAUCGCUCGUUGACACUAACAAGAAAUCAUCACCGCCUUCAUCGACCAAAUUAGCACCAACUACAUCUUCCUCGUUACUCUCAGCAGCUCUUUUAUUUCGCAGUUUAUAACAAUCUGCUUUGACGUGACCUAACUUUUUGCAAUAGCGACACCUUUUGUCUCGUUUCUUUGAUGCUACCAAAACGGAAGCUUGUCUAUCUGCUUUGCUAUUCAAAUCAAACUCAUUGUCGAGUUUGUCUCUACUCAACAAAUGACCCUUCACAUCUUCGAACGAGAGUUUGUCUCUGCCAUAAAUCAAGGUCUCCCUGAAAGACUUGUAUGAAGAGGGUAAAGAGCACAAUAAUAGCAUAGCUUGAUCUUCAUCGUCAAUAUGAACCUCAACGUUCUUUAAAUCAUUUAAAAGAGUAAUGAAUUGACUGAUGUGAUCUUUAAGAAGCUCACCUUCGUUCAUGCGAAACGUAAAUAGACGUUGUUUCAACACUAAACGGUUAGCCAGAGACUUAGUCGCAUAAAGAGUUUCUAACCUUUUCCACAAGGCGAAUGAGGUCUUCUCCAUCAAUACCUCCUGCAAUACUGUAUUCGCGAGGCACAACUGGAUUGCAGACAAGGCCUUUUCAUCAAGCUCUUCCCAUUCUGUUUGAUUUAGAUUCUCAGGCUUUUUCCCUGUAACAACCUUUUUCAAGCCAUUUUGAACUAGAAUUGCCAUCAUCCGAACUUGCCACAGAUUGAAAUUUGUCUCACCAUCGAACUUCUCAAUUUCAAACCUUGUUGCUGCCAUCUCUGACCGGGCUGAUCUAUGAAAGUUAAACUAGCUCUGAUACCACUUGUUAGGAUCGUCCCGAAUAAGCAACGAACAAGUAAAAAUAGUAGAAGAAAUUGAGAAGAUGAACACACAAAUUUAACGUGGAAAAACCCCUCAAAAGAGGAUAAAAAACCACGGGCAAAGAUAAUUUUACUAUAAUGGCAAAAGAAUGAAGAGUACAAAAGAUGGAGAUAAAAACUAAACCCCGAAAACCCGAAAAACAAAGAACCCUCAAACGUAAACACAAAAUUCUCUGAAUGUGUUAUGAGUUCUAAUCUAAUGGGUGUCUCUUAAUUCUAAGAUUGUAAAGGAGCCUAUUUAUAGGCUAAAUUAGUAAGUCAAAUAAACUAUACUAAUAAAUGCUAAAUAUAUUAUACUAAUAAAUACUAAAUCUUCUAGAAAGAAAAUAUAUUUUUGUUUAACUUGACUUGCAAGCAAUCUCUUAGAAUUUGGGUCACAUAAUUCUAACAGUAUAUUUGGCCAUUUCUAGGACCUCCAGAAUACAUCACAUUAAAAAAAUUAUUUUUUAUUAAAGAUUUCAUUUUCCAUAUCAAAAUAAAAGUAUAAAACAUAAAACGUACGUUUUCUCACUUAACAUUUCACUUCCAAAGCAAAAGAAAUAAAAUAAAAAAAACCAAUGCGUAACGAAAAUAGACUUCACAAUUUUAACUAAAUAUUAAGGGUGAGUAAAAUUCAAUUUGAUUUGAAAAAAAUAAAAAAAAAUUUAAAUUUCAAGUUAAUUGAAUCGAGUUAUUCCAUUUUCUCGAGUUAACUCAAAUUCGAAUUUCGAUUUCGAUUGAGUCAAAUUUUACAAUUCGAUUAAUAUAUUGGUAUAAAUAUCCUUUUAGUUCCAAUCAAAUUUGAAAAUAAGUAAAUUGGUAACACAACUCAAAUUUUCUCCUAGGUCCAUAAUUAAUCCUAUGUAUGGAUCCUUAGGAUUGGUGUAUUCUUUUCUAUCUUAUAUACCACGGUUUCGGAUCAUGGAUCAAGCCAAGCAUCACAACUUCUUCUACCCAUCCUGUAUGUUGUCCUUUUGGCUCCGUGUUGGAAUAGAAACUUAUUGUAUUGUAUUAGUAGACGAAAUCGUUUAUCAUUAUGAUAGGUGUCAAGUGGAAGUACAGUGAUGUAUGCAGCUGAGGCAUCCUAACAGACUGGUACACUUGAACCUUGUUCCUACAUGACCCGAUCAGUUCGAUCAGGCACUCGCCAUCUAUUUUCAUUGUUCAACUCUUUGACAACACGAAAAAUCCAUUGUUCAACUCUUUGACAUGAAAAAACCAAAAGCUCUACCCUCCCUCUCUAUCUAUCCAUGGACUCUCUCAACAAAAAUUACAAAAAAAAUUAAAAUAAUUUUUAAAAAUAAAAAAAUUUAUAAAAAUUUCAUAAUUUAUAUUUUAAAAAUAUAUAAAAUAUUUUAAAAAAAUUCUAAAGAAUAUAUAAAGAAAGUUAAAAAUUUUAAAAUUUUCUAAAAUAAUAAUUUUGGGGACCUCAAUAAGUUAAUGGUUUCAAAUUUAUCUUGCUAAAGUAUUUUUUCUUAUUUUGCUUUGAAUUUUUGUUCAAAUACACGUGGUUCCAAAUAUAUAUUGUAAAAAGAUUUUAAUUUGACAUAUUUAAUUUUUUAAUUUAACUCAAACAAUUUCGCUCGAUUCGACUCGACCUGAAUUUUAUUUCAAUUGACUCGAUUUGAAAAAUUUUCUAAUUGAGUUAGGGUGAUAAAUUAGGACUUAUUAACUCAAUUAACUCGAAAAUUUUCAUUCAAUUCGACUUGAUUUAAUUGAGUGCUCACCCUACUGAAUAUUGUAAGAAGUUAAUAAAUUUAUUUUAGAAAAUAUAUAAAGAAAAAAAUUGAUUGUAAUUUUGAAGAAGACAAACAAAAUUAAAGGAGGUUUAUAUAAAUGAUAGAAAUGGUGACACCAGUUGAAGACCCAAUUUUGGCUCGGGCCCAUAUACAUACAAUAGACAAAAGACAACAGUCCGAACCUAAGUUACAGCAGGCCCAAUUCAUAAAAACAAGGACUUGGGUCCAAAAAUACAGGCCCGAUAGGCCCAAAGUUUGGGGUUUUCGGGAAACCCUGGGUCUCCAUGCGCCGCACGAAUGCAGCCACCAUGCUCUCCACCUCACACGUCCAGCCAACUCGCGUGUAGCACGACCCACGCCCCACGUUCACCAUACCUGCAACUAGUAGAAGCAAAGAAACUGUUGUAAAGUUGGCUAUAAAAAGCCACGAAUUUUCAUUUGUUGGAUUUUUUUUUUGGAAUACAAAAUACACACAAAGAAUCCAAGAGCAGUGAAAAAAAUACUUCAAGGUGGUUCAUCAUUAUUUUAUUCUAUUUUUUUUUUCAUUUUCAUUUGAGUUCACGUAAUACAAAAUAAUAUAUCGUAGAAGGGAGAGGAGUCGUAUCUUUUGAUUCGCUAGCAAAAGGGGGAAAUUUUCGGCCUUUCGGUGGCCAUCUACAGAGUGCGCGAGGCGGCAGAAGAGGGCCUGGGUUUUUGCCCUUUCAGCUGAGAAAGGAAAAUGAUGGAAAUGUUCUAGGUUUUUUUUAAAAAAAAGGUUAAAAUGUUUUUUAAAGCAGGUUUUAAGCAAUAGAUGGAAAUAGCAUCGGGGAAAGGAACAGACAGCUUUUUGACUUGGUCUAUGCACAUAAUUUCUUUGAAUGGUUAAUUUGCGCAAUUGGACCCUCCCCUCUUGCACUGGCUUGUAAUUGAAGCUUGUUUAUAUUUUCUUUUUUUUUAAAAAUUGUCCCAGAAAUUUGCGCGUCCGUUCAUUUCAGUCCGCGCUGAAAGGAAUUGUUUUGGGGCAUGGUUUAUUUUAUUUUUCGGUCCUUGCAAAUUUACACGCGCUACAUUUGGGUCCUGAUUUUGGUUUUUAACGCUUAUUUUAUUUAUUAAUUGUCCCAUUUAGUUUAAUUUUAUUUCAAUUGAGUUUUUUUUUCCAUUUCAACAUGUAUAAUCCAUUACUUUAAUUUAUUUAGCAUUCAACUCUUUUUUUUAAAAAAAAAUAUUAUUUAAACAUACAUUUUGGGCUACUUUAAUAAUUUUACCUUGUUUUUUAUUUGUUCAAAUUGUAAAGUGUUAUUUUAAAAUUCUAUUUUAUGUAGUAUCAUUUUAAGUUCUUGUAUAAUAUAUGGUUAAAAUAGAUGUAUAUACUAUUAUUAUACAUAUAUAAUUUUUGAUAAAAUUAACCCUAUUCUAUAUACAUUAUUGUUUUUAUAUUAUUUUAUGUAAAUAUUUUCUUUUAAAUUUAUUAUGUAUAUAUAUUCUCUUUAAAAUUUAUUUAUGCAUAAUUUGAGCUUUCUUUUAAGGAUCUUAUUUUUAAUUGUAUAUUUUAUUUAUUUAGAAUACUUUAGUAUCUUUGUAUAUGCAUUAUUAAUAUUUUUUCCCCUACAUGCGUCAUUAGUCACAUUAAUUUGUUUUACUUGAAAUUAUGUUAUAUACUAUUUAUUUCGAAUUUCUUCUUGUAUAUUAUAUGUUUUAAUAAUUGUUUAUGUAUUAUCAGUUUUUGUGUACAUAUUAGUUAUGUUGAAUUUUAACAUGUGUUAUUCCUUUAUAUAUUUUUCAUACGGGUUUUUGAAUUGUUUUGCGAUGGUUCCUGGUUUUCAUAUGGUCUUAUGUAUUAUGAGUUUUUUUUUCCAUAAUUUAUUGUUUUAUACAUAUAAUUAUAUUCUUAUUUCUUAUUGUUGUAUCAUGAUUAUAAUUCUCAUAUCCACUUAAUAUCGAUUGUCCUCUAUUUCAAACAAAUCAAGUAAGUAUAUUUUGACUCAGUUUUUGUAAUCGCUUAUUUGAAAUUUCACAAAUCAAGGCAAUGUUUCGUGUUUGGAAAUUCGAGGAAUCGUGCACUAACGUGCUGGGUUUCUAUUUAUUGUUGGACCAAAUAACCGAAUACCAUUUUAAAAAUUUUCAUCUCGUGUUUUGGAAAUCAUGAGGUGAUCUCAAUUUUUGGAGGCUUAAAAUAUCGUGUCCUAACGUGCUGGAUGUGGUAUUUUAUUCCUUUGGAACGAGUGAAUCUUAAAAUCCAACUUGAGUUGUUUCGCGUGUUUUGGAAAUCAUGAAGUGAUCUCAAUUUUUUUUGGAAGUUUAAAAUAUCGUGUCCUAAUGUGCUGAAUGUGGUAUUUAAUUCCUUUAGAACGAGUGAAUCUUAACAAACUCGAAUUGUGCACGCACUUUUAAAGGGAUCGUAUUUCAAUUUUUUUUUUAAUUUUCAACAUUAGGACAUAAAUUAAUCAAUUAGGUACCAAUUUUGGGCGUUACGAGGGUGCUAAUCCUUCCUCAUACGUAACCGACUCCCGAACCCAUUUCUUUUUUUUUCGUAGGCCAAAACCUAUAUUUUAAUAAAAUGAUUUAUCAGGUGAUCCGAUCACACCUAAACCAAAAAAGAUUGGUGGCGACACUCCUUAAUUCAUUUUUAAAGUCGAUCCCCGUUUUUUUCAAACUUUUAAAAAUGGUUUUGACAGCUUGGCGACUUCGCUGAGGAUCAAUAAGAGAAUCAAGCCGUAAAAUUGAUUAUUUUCUGUCCUUUUGUCAAAAAUUUAAAAUUUGGGUUUUAACAUACGAUCCUUUUAUUGCAUUUCAUGGGUUUUAUGGUUUUUUUCAUUUUAUUUGUGUUUUGCAUUUUGAGUUUUUAUAUCCCCUCGCAUCAUCUUGCAUGACCGUUGUGGUCGCACCUUUUUUAAGUGGGAGUGAGAAACUAUGCCUCUGUGAGGUUUUCACCUCCGCAUGGGCUAGUGGACUGCUUCCGGGAUACAUCCGUACCUAUGUCUUCGUGAGGUUUUCACCUCCACAUGGCCAUAGGGAAAUGUAUUUUCCUGAAUCGAACUCGAUCCACAUGAGACUAUAAUGGGUAAGGGUUGAGGAAUCUGCUGGUUCAAGUACCAUUUUCUAGAACCGAGCCACAUAUUGUGAACUGUAGGAGCCCGCCCUAGGUAGAGCUAUGUUGAACCCUAGCGAUUACCCAGUUAGGUGUUUGAUUAUUUUCUGUUUGCUUUGAUUUUUUUUAUUUUUCGAUACUAACUUGUUGUGUUUUGUUGUGGUUAUGUUUGCAUGUCAUUUCAUAUUAAAGAGGUGUCGAUUUUUGUUCAGUUGCUAAAUUUAAAACCUGGUUAUAGAGAGUGAAUUCCUUGAUAAAGUAGAGGAUAAUGUGGCUGUCCGUAUGUGGUCAGAGAAUAUGCAACUUAAGAAAGGGGAUAGCUUGGCUGAGGGGUGUACAUCGGAAUUGGGAAACUUCACUCGUAUCAAUGUGACCCAAAAUGAACUCCAGAAGUUGAGGGAUAUAUGGGCUAGUUGGGAUGAAAAGGCUAGGCAGCUGUUCUAUCAAAAUUAUGGCGACUUACCCUACCUGCUUGACCUCAAGGUGGACAAGUACUUGUUUCGGGCUAUGGCUCAGUUCUGGAACCUGGCAUAUAGUUGUUUCACCUUUGGGAAGGUGGACUUGGUGCCUACUGUGGAGGAGUAUACAGCUUUUCUUCGUUGUCCAAAGGUUCAAGUCGACAAAGUUUAUUCCAAGGCUGCUAGUGCCCCAACUUUUGUAAAAAAGUUAAUGAGUAUCACCGGGAUGAGUGAACAGUGGGUUACAGUCUGAAUUCAGCAAAAGGGUGAUGGUAAGUGCAUUUCUUGGGUGAGUUUGAGGGACCUGAUCUUAGCACAUCCAGAUACAAAGAGGAAAGUUGAUGUUUUCGCCUUGAGUAUCUAUGGUUUGGUGAUUUUCCCUAAAGCUUUAAGGCAUAUGGAUGAAGCAGUUGUCGAUGUCUUUGAUCGACUUGACAAAGGGAUCACACCGAUGCUUGCAAUUCUAGCUGAGACAUUCAGAUAUUUGAGUGUAUGUCGGAGGGCAAGUGAAGGAAGAUUUAUAGGGUGUGCGCAAUUGUUGCUGGCUUGGUUCCACAGCCAUUUUUGGAAGGUGGAUAAGGUUUCUUAUUGGGUUUUCUCCGAGAGUUACUCCCCGUUAAAGGAAAUAAUAGCCAUGUCCAGGAGAGAUGACAUAUCAGAAGAAAAUUGGAUCGUGCUCCUCCGAAAUCUUCAAGAAGAGGACGUUGAGUGGAGAGCUUCUUGGUUUGUUCCUGAUGAGAUUCUUUAUCAGUGUGGGAGUUUUGACUGGGUACCCCUGCUUGGAAUUUGGGGAGCUGUUGGAUAUGCUCUUUUACUCGUUUUAAGAUAAUACAGGUCAAGGCAAUUUAUACCGAUGACACAUGGACUAGCCUAGAGUGAGUUCUCGUAUAGGGAGAACAAUUACAAAAAGAAGGUUCAAGAGAUUUCUGAUGCUUGGAAACAGAUACGCCAGAUGAAGAGAUUGACUGUAGAAUCAAUGACGACUCCUGAAUACAAGGGAUGGUUGAGUAAAAGAGUUAAUGAUAAUAUCUCUGAGCUGAGUUUGGAGGGUGUUCAUACGAUAGAAGAAUACUUGCAAGUAAUCCCCACCGAGCUUGAAAUCAUAAAACGGGACUUUGAAGAGGGAAAUACGGAGUUAGGGAAAAAGAUAGAACAGUUGGAGGAAGAAAAGAUGCAUUUGAGGUUGGAUGUCGAUGUUCAGAAACUUGAGGCUGAAAAGUUGAGGAAAGGGAAAAGAAGCAUUGAUGAAGACUUGGACAGUUUGAAAACUGAUUACAAGAAGCUACGUAUGUCAAUUAGAAAUGCUGGAUUGGGGAAGACGUCAGAACAGUGGCGACAGAAAAUUCAAGAGGAAAAGCCUAGAGCAGAUCAGUGGGAGAAGAGGUUCCAUGAUGCUCGAGCACGUGAAAAUGUUUUAAAAAAGAGCUUGGUUGAAAGCCAAGAUGAGAAGAAGAUGUUGGUAGCUCAGGUAGUGGAUUUAAAAAGGGCACUGCAUCAGUAUCGUGGAUGUAACUCCAACAUUGAAUUAAGGGCCAGCUUGAAUAGGAUCGAGGAUUUGAAAGGAAAAGUGGAAGAACUUGAGACUAUGCUACAGAACUGUGAACUCCGAAUUGAAUUCCUUGAGUCGAACAAUGAGCAAUGGAAGGAACAGCUCCGUCGAUCGCAAGACCAAGUCAAGGAUAGAGAUCAUAUCAUGGGUGAAGCUAUAGCUCAGAUACGAGAAGUGGCCGAUCAUUUACAAACCUUAGCAGUUUAAGCUGAUGUGCUAAGUGUGAAGUAUGAGUUAGAGUCAGAUCGGGGUCGUGAGCUGGCUUGCAUUCUUAAGAAAGUUAAAACUUUGGGCAUUAGGGCAAAGUCGUAUAUAUGAUCUGUUUUAUGCAAAGGAUUUUGCUUUCUAAUAAAGUUUUUUAAAUGGAAUUGAAUCAGAAUCGAUGUCUCUUUAGUUGUACAUUCAUCUCAUGCAUUUGCAUUUCAUUGCAUCAUGUGUAUUAAAUUUUAUAAAAAGAACCUUAAUUAAUUGAAAAUUGUAUUAUAGUUACCCUGGAACACCAAUAUUACACAUGGAAAAAGACCAAAGCUAUGGAUCAAAGGUUGGAAAAAUUGGAGCAAAUGGAGAAAGAAAUGCAGGAAGAGAUGCAAGCGCAAAUGCAAGAGCAAUUAGCUAGGAUCCAGCAAGAUAUGAAAGAUAAAAUGCUAGAAUCUCAGAGGAGUAUGAUGAGCGAAUUGACUCAGCUACUAGUUGGAAGGUCGGAAAAGGGGAAGAGUCCCAUGAUCAAUGCUGAGGAUGAUAGCGGGGUUCUUGCUUACCCUUUGGGUUUCACCCCAACAAAUACUCUAGUGCCUCCGCAAAGGGUGUCUAUCAGUAUCAAACCCUAAUAUCAGACUGAUACUUCGGCACCGAAAAAUAUCCCGAUAGGCUUGUGUUCUAACCUUAAAGACAAUCGGGCAAAUCCUACGGUCCCUGACUUCGAUAAAGUAGCAGAAAUAGGAAAGGUAAGAAUGAAACUUCCAAAGCAAUUGAAAGACCGAUAUAAAUGGUUGGAGGAGAAAUUCAAAGCGUUAGAAAGCGCUGAUUAUCAUUGUGGAAUAGAUGCUAAGGAGUUGAGCCUGGUCUCGGAUUUGGUACUCCCUCCGAAGUUCAAAAUAUCAGAGUUUGAGAAAUAUAAUGGAACCAGUUGCCCAGAGGCUCACAUCACGAUGUUUUGUCGAAGGAUGACUGGUCAUGUCAAUAAUGAUCAGUUAUUGAUCCAUUGUUUCCAGGACAGUUUGGUUGGGGCUGCGGCCAAGUGGUACAAUUAGUUGAGUUGUAGCCAAGUUAAAUCAUGGAAAGACUUAGCACAGGCCUUUAUAAAACAAUAUGGCCAUGUGACUGAUAUAGCACCUGAUAGGAUUACGUUACAGAACAUGGAGAAGAAGUCAAAUGAAAGUUUCAGGCAAUAAUCUUAGAGAUAGAGAGAGAUUGCUACACAAGUCCAACCCCCACUGUUGGAAAAGGAAACAACCAUGCUUUUCAUUAAUACCCUGAAAGCACCUUUUAUUAAUCACAUGCUGGGAAACACAACUAAGAGUUUUGCGGACAUAGUUAUGCCCGGUGAAAUGAUAGAGAAUGCAAUAAGGUGCGGAAAGAUAGAGGCAGGGGAAAGCACCAGGAGGUCGGCCCCGAAAAAGAAAGAAAAUGAAGUCAGUAAUGCAAACAUGGGUUAUGCAAAGCCAAUCAUGGUAAAUCAACCGAAAGUGGUAGCCACGGGCCAGCAAGCUUCGCCAAGGCAGGAACCCCAUACAAAGUAGAACACGAAGAAGCCCCAGUUUACUUUCAUUCCAGUAACGUAUCGGGAGCUGUACAAAAGUUUGUUUGAUGCACACAUCGUAUCUCUUUUCUAUUUAAAACCACUGCAACCCCUAUACCCCAAGUGGUAUGAUGCAAGUGCUCAAUGUGAAUAUCAUGUUGGAAUCGCGAGUCACUCGAUAGAGAACUGCACCUCUUUUAAGAGGGUAGUCGAAAGGCUCAUCAACAUGGGUGUUGUGAAAUUCGAUGAUGCUCUUGGUGUAGGAAAUCCAUUAUCCAAUCAUACUAAUAAAAGGGUAAACGCAAUAGUCGAGAAUAUGGGGAGGAGGUUUUGAAGAAAAUAGUAGAGAAAUGUCUAAUCAUGCAAGACUUUGAGAGCAAAUCCCGAGAAGCAGGGAACUAUUGUGAGUUCCAUGGAGAGGAGGACCAUGAGAUAGAAAAAUGUAAUGAAUUUAGGGCCCUGGUACAGGCUCUAAUGGACAACAAAAAGCUGGAGUUCUUUGAGUUUACUAAGAAGGAAGACGUAUGCACUUCGGAGGAGGGGUUGAUAGAGAAGGUUUCUGAGGUCAAUCACCUAAUGGUGAUCAUUUCGCGACCGAAAAUUAAUGAAGUUGGAGCAAAAAUUACACCGAGAGUUGUAAUCCAGAGACCCGCGGCUUUUCCGUAUAAGGAUAACAAAAGGGUGCCUUGGAAUUACAAUUGUAAUGUGAUAUAUCCAAGGGAGGAGAGUCUGGUCAGCACGCCAAGUACAAAGGUCGAGCCUGGAAAAAAGAAGUCCGUGAUGAUUGAACAAGGGAAAGAGAGGACAAAACCACUAGUUAAUAAACCAGUAAUUGAAGAUGAAGUUAAAGAAUUUUUGAAGUUCCUAAAAUACAGUAAGUAUAGUGUUGUGGAACAGUUGCACAAGUAGCUGGCAUGCACAUCGGUACUAGCUCUGCUCCAAAACUCGGAGGUUUACUGAAAUGCGUUGAUGAAGGUGUUGAACGAGACCUAUGUUACUGAAGAUAUUUCAGUGAACAAGCUAGACCACCUUGUCAGUAACAUAAGUGCCGAUAACUUCAUCUCCUUCAGUGACGAUGAAAUACCACCAGGGGGCAUGGGAUCCACCAAGGCUUUGCACAUCACCACUCGCUGCAAAGGGUAUACACUGCUGCGGGUAUUAAUUGAUAAUGGGUCAGUGCUGAAUGUUUUGCCCUUGUCCACAUUAAAUAGGUUACCAAUAGACAGCUCUCAUAUGAAGACAUGCCAGAACACAGUAAGGGCAUUUGAUGGCACUGAGAAGAAAGUGAUGGGAAGGAUUGAGGUACCUCUGCUGAUCGGACCAAACACAUACGAGGUAGAUUUCCUUAUGAUGGAUAUUACGCCUUCUUAUAAUUGCUUGUUGGGGAGGCCUUUGAUUCACUCGGCAGGGGUAGUAUCGUCAUUGUUGCACCAAAAUUUAAAGUUGGUGACGGAGGGCCGCUUGAAAACGAUAAAUGCUGAGGAAGACAUUAUUGCAUCCGUUACUAGUAGUGCACCGUAUAUAGAAAAUGAUAAUGAAGCAAUUGAGUGUUCCUUUCAGUCAUUAGAGUUUGUAAAUGCAACUUUCAUCAUUGAAGGGGGCAGGGUCUCAAUGCCAAGAAUAUCUGAGGCUACGAGGAUGAGCUUGCAAUUAACAGUGGGAAAUGGAUCAUUGCUUGGAAGAGGACUUGGAAAGUAUCUUCAUGGACGAGUUGAGGUGCCAGUUUUGGCUGAUAAACAAGAUCGCUUUAGCUUAGGGUAUAGGCCAGAUGCAAAUUAGAAAAGAAAGGUGAUGAAAAGGAGGCAAGAGAGACGAAGAGUCUGAUUGAGUGAGACAGAGGUCAAGUGGGAAUCAAUGACUUUUCCCCAUAUUUCUAAUACAUUUGUGUCAGGAGGAAUUAUCUAUUCUGAGCCGAAGACAACAGGAGAAGGAAUGGUCAAAGAUUUGAUGGGAAGUCUGAACAUCAACAUCAUAUCUGAAGAGAAGGUGAUGGAAAGAGACUUGGCAAGCAUUCGCCUUUAUGAGCCUAAAAGGGUUCUGAACAUGUAACAGCCCGAUUCUGGGCCUAGUCGGAAUAGUGGUUUCGGGACCACAAAUCCGACGAGGGAAAAUAUGGUUAUUAUUAUAUUUUUAUGAUCUACAAUUUCACGGAAAAUUUUCGUAAAAAUUUCGUUCGAAAAUUUCGACGUUUGGGCACUCAAUUUAGUCAAAAGGACUAAAUUGUAAAUAGUGCAAAAGUUGAGUUCUACAUCUUAGAGGUGUCUAAUUGUUAUGAAAUUUUAAAUUGGAGGUCUUUAUGUGGUAAUUAGACCAUUAGUUAGUUGAUGGACAAAAAUAGACAUAAGAAAUGGGUGAAAUAGAUUUUUUUAAAUGGGGGCAUUUUAGUCAUUUGGUUAUUAAAUAGAAUUAAAUGGGAAAAAGAUGGCAAAAUAUGCUCAUCUUCUUCAUGGUGAACGAAAUCAGCAAGGGGGAAGCCAUAUUUAGGGUUUUUAAGCUUUCAAGCUCCAUAGUAAGUGAUUCUAAGCCCCGUUUUUAAUGUUCUUCGUAUUUUUGGAGUCCCGGUAACUUGGUUUAGCUUAUUCUACCAUUAAUUCAUGUUAGGGUUCAUAUUUGGAAAAAUAUCCAUAGGUGAAAUGUGUUUAUUUUGCUGUUUUAUGGUGGAAUAUGAAGCUAGAGAUUAUGUUAAACAACUUUUGCUAAGCAAUUUUAAGCGAAAACGGGUAAAUAGACAUAAUCAAUAAAAAUAAUUAAUAUUCAAAAGUAUGUGUUGGAGUGGGAAUUUGAUGAUGUUUCCAUAGAAGGGAAAAAUGUUCAGCAUGUUAUAAAACUUAAGAAUAAGUGAUGAAGUUUAAUUUCCGAGCUUGGGGACAAAAGUGUAAUUAUGCAAAAGUUUGGGGGCAAAAUUGUAAUUUUCAAAAAGUUGGGUGGUGGAUUAUUUUAAUAAAUGUGGACUUUAAACGAGUUAAAUUUGCUAUUAUAGAUCAAGAAAGACGUGAAGAGUAUAUCAAACGAGGAAAAGAAAAGAUAGUGGAGUAAAGUGCAAAAUUACGAUAUUUUGCACCGAGGUAAGUAAACACGUGACUUAAUGUAUUAUUUUGAUAUUAUUUGAUAUAUGUUGAGAUUUAUUUGGAAUUAAAAUAAAUGUUUGGCAAUAUCCUAAAAAUGUUGUUAAAUCGGGAAAGGUGAUAAAGGGUUGCAAUAUAUGGGUUAUGGGUUGAACACUCGGAAUAAGCCGUAGUAUGUUGUAUAUAAAAGGGGUUGCUGUGUGCUGAUUCCCCGAUUUAUGGGUGGUGCUAUGUGCGUGAUCCACCAUAUCUUUGAAAUGUGAAAGGGGGUUGCUAUGUGCUGAUUCCCCCGAGGGGUUGCUAAGUGCUGAUUCCCCGGUUCAUUGGUGGUGCUAAGUACGAUAUCCACCAUAUCUUUGAAAUGUGAAAGGGGGUUGCUAUGUGCUGAUUCCCCCGAGGGGUUGCUAAGUGCUGAUUCCCCGGUUCAUUGGUGGUGCUAAGUGCGAUAUCCACCAUAUCUUUGAAAUGUGAAAGGGGGUUGCUAUGUGCUGAUUCCCCCGAGGGGUUGCUAAGUGCGAUAUCCAUUGUAUAUUUGAAAUGAAAAGGGGGUUGCUAUGUGCUGAUUCCCCCGAGGGGUUGCUAAGUGAUGAUUCCCCGAUUCAGUGGUAGUGCUAAGUGCGAGAUCCACCAAUAACGGUUAACAUUCCGAGUGUUCAACGAAAAAGUGUGGAAGGUGAAUAUUGCCAUAUGGUGGAAAAUUUUAUGGGGUAAAUAUUGAGUUGGACACUAAAUCGAUCCAUGUAUGAGAUGGGAGAAAAUAUCAAAAACGAAAAAGGAACGAUUUAAUUAUAAACUGUGUUGAACAACAGCAGUUGGGUAACUUUGAAAAAUCACCAUAAAUGGUGGAAAAUUAAUGGGAAGCUGAAUAAUAUAUGAAAUUGAAGCUGGAUGUGUCUGUUUUCAUAUGAAAGAAAUAAAAUAAGCAAAAGAGUUGUAUUUUUGGAGAUAUCUGAAUUUUACUAAAACAGGGCUGGAUUGAUUUCGAGAUCCCCUGUUCUAACUUUGGAAAAUUACCAAAAAUUGUAAAAAAAUAAUUAUGGCAUAAAAUUUAUAUCCCUGGAAUCCUUAUUGAGUCUAUUUUUAUUAGAAACAAGAAAACCCAUUUUUCAAAUUUUGUACAGAGAGUUAAGUAAAUUUUAGUGAGGAAGGGUCAGAACCGUUGGGCAGUGAAACAGGGGAAGGUUUAAUGAAUAAACUGUACUAAUUGGCUGGGUUAAAAAUUCUGAAAUUUUUAUGGUGAAAUGGUAUAUGAGUCUAGUUUUAGGGAAAAUUUACGGAACUCAAUUUGGAGCCCUGUAGAUCCAGAUAAAAAUAAAUUAGCGACUAUGACGCAGAAAAACAGCUUGCUGGAAAUUGCCUAAACAAUAAAGUUAUUCAUGAAUAAGUUUAUAUUUUGGUGUAGUUGUGGGAGUAAUUACUUAUUUAUCAUGUGUUUACUUACUAAGCUAUAUGCUUACUCGAUUUUAUUUUUCUCUUGGUUAUAGUGACUUCCAACAACUCGGAAAUUGGAACGAAGUCAGACAAUCAUCUACACUAUCCUUCACAUUUGGGGUAUUUUACUACUAGUGUUCCGAAAUUUUAUGGCAUGUAUAGACACUUUAUGUAAUGUGGGAUCAUCAUGUAAAUAUAUGUUAUGGUUCCCUUUUAAAUGUAGUGUUUAUUAAUAGUUAAACUAUAUGUGUGUUUAUACAAAUGAAAUUGGUUGGUAUAUUGGAAUGUGUUCUAAAUUUGCAGGAGGUUUAAGCAAAAAUAAGUAGGAAUGCUGUCGAAAAUUUUUAAAAAUUUAGUAAUACCUCAUACUCUGUUCCGGUAAGGAAUACGGGUAAGGGGUGUUACAUUUUAGUGGUAUCAGAGCUACGGUUUAGUCGGUUCUCGGACCAAUAAAAUACGUGUGGAAGUCAGUCUAUACAUGCCAUAAAAUUAUUGUGAUAGUGUGAUGAUUUCUGACAAUUUAAAAUUUUGUUUUAUAUAGUAAAUGGAUCCUGAUCGAAGUGUGGCAGAUGAUGUUGAAACUAACGCGCCGGCUCUCGCGCAAGGGACCGCGCAGGAAGAGAGUAGACAUGAGACACAUGGACAGGAUGAGGCUCGGGAAGCCUUCCUCUGAAUGAUGAGUGAUUGGUAUAUAAAAUAUGUCCGUGUAAAUCCGAAUGUUCCUCCUCCUCCACCCCCUCCUAUUCCUCAACCGGUCCCCGUAACUCCACGGAGUGCCGAAUUGGUGAGAUCAAGUAAGCCACCUGUUGAUAGAAUUCGAAAGCAUGGGGCUGAAGAUUUUAGGGCCAAUGUUGAUGAUGAUCCAGAAAAAGCCGAGUUUUGGCUUGAAAAUACUAUUCGGGUAUUUGAUGAAUUAUCUUGCACCCCUGAAGAAUGUUUGAAAUGUGCUGUGUCUUUAUUGAAGGAUUCGACAUAUCGUUGGUGGAAAACAUUGAUAUCGGUGGUUCCAAAAGAAAGAGUUACUUGGGACUUCUUUCAGGAAGAAUUUAGAAAGAAAUAUGUAAGCCAACGAUUUAUUGAUCAAAAACGCAAAGAGUUUCUCGGGUUGAAACAGGGCCGAAUGUCUGUAGCAGAAUAUGAACGGGAGUUUGUUCGGCUUAGUAAAUAUGCCCAGGAAUGUGUGCCUACGGAGGCUAUUAUGUGUAAAAGAUUUGAAGAGGGGCUAAAUGAAGACAUCAGAUUGCAUGUUGGGAUUUUAGAGUUAAAAGAAUUUGUGGUGUUAGUUGAUCGGGCCUGUAAAGCUGAAGAACUGAGUAGAGAAAAGAGAAGGGCAGAGAUGGAAUCUCGAGAUGUAAGGAAGAGGACAAUGGGCAGAACAUUUCAAUCUCAUUCGAAGAAGUUUAAAGGGAUGGAUCCACGACCAACUGGUUCAGUUGGGUAUUCACGCAGAGACCGAGGGAGGUCGUAUUCUGGAGCUACAACUCGAGCUACCUCUGUAGCAAGUGUGGGCAAUGUAGGAAACACCCGGCCUGAAUGUCAACAGUGUGGCAGGCGACAUAUUGGUGAGAGUUGGGGAUUUAAACGAGCUUGUUUCAGGUGUGGUUCCCAAGAGCAUUAUGUAAGAGAUUGCCCUGAGAGAAGAGAGGAAGAAAAUUUGCCAAGAGCUGGAUCGGGUGAUAUUGUUAGUAGAGGGAGACCGCCGAGAAAUGUGGGAAGCAAAGUCAGUGGUAAAAGUGUGAUGAAAGAUGCAGCUAGAGGAUCAGAAAUUAGAGCGCCUGCCAGGACUUAUGCCAUACGUGCUCGAGAGGAUGCCUCAUCUCCCGAUGUGAUUACUGGUACAUUUUCUCUUCAUGAUAUAGAUGUUAUUACUUUGAUUGAUCCCGGCUCUACUCAUUCAUAUGUAUGCAUGAAAUUGGUAUCUAGUAAGAAAUUGCCUGUUGAAAACACUGAAUAUGUAGUUAAAGUAUCAAAUCCAUUAGGCAAGUAUGUCUUAGUUGAUAAGAUUUGCAAGAAUUGCCCCCUGAUGAUUCAAGGUCACUGUUUCCUGGCUAAUUUGAUGUUGUUACCAUUUGAUGAGUUCGAUGUUAUUUUGGGGAUGGAUUGGUUGAUAUUGCAUGAUGCCAAGGUGAAUUGUAGACAGAAAAUUCUUGAAUUAAAGUGUGAAAAUGGUGAAAUUCUCCGGAUUGAAACAGAGGAGUCGAAUAAGUUGCCUAUGGUGAUUUCGCACAUGUCUGCUCAGAAAUACUUGAGAAAGGAAUGUGAAGUUUAUCUUGCUUAUGUGUUGAAUACUGAUAUAACUGGGUCGAAGCUUGAAUCAGUGCCGGUAGUCUGUGAAUUUCCAGAUGUAUUUCCAGAGGAAUUGCCUGGGUUACCUCCGAUUAGAGAAGUUGAGUUUUCUAUUGAUCUGUUACCUGGUACUGCACCGAUUUCUAUUGCACCGUAUCGAAUGGCUCCGACUGAGUUGAAGGAAUUAAAAGCUCAGUUACAAGAGUUGACAGAUAAAGGAUUUGUGAGACCGAGUUUUUCUCCUUGGGGUGCUCCUGUGUUAUUUGUGAAAAAGAAGGACGGCUCUAUGAGACUUUGUAUUGACUAUCGUCAGCUCAAUAAGGUGACCAUAAAGAACAAGUAUCCUUUGCCGAGAAUUGAUGAUUUGUUUGAUCAAUUAAAAGGGGCAACAGUGUUCUCCAAGAUCGAUCUGAGGUCUGGUUACUAUCUGUUGAGAGUUAAAGAGUCUGAUGUGCCGAAAACCGCCUUCAGAACGAGAUGAUAUUUUAAUCUAUUCUCGGGAUGAAUCGGAACAUGCAGAACAUUUGAGAACUGUGUUGCAGAUUCUGAGAGAAAAGAAAUUGUAUGCUAAAUUCAGCAAAAGUGAGUUUUGGCUUCGUGAGGUUGGAUUCUUGGGACAUAUAGUUUCAAGUGAAGGUAUUCGGGUUGAUCCAAGCAAAAUUUCAGCAAUUGUUGAUUGGGAGCCACCAAAGAAUGUGACUGAAGUUAGAAGCUUCCUGGGCUUAGCUGGGUAUUACAGACGGUUUGUCAAGGGAUUCUCGAUGAUUGCUUCUCCUAUGACUAAGUUAUUGCAGAAGAAUGUCAAGUUUGAAUGGACCGAUAAAUGUCAACAGAGUUUUGAAAAGUUGAAGGCAUUAUUGACUGAGGCGCCAGUGUUGGUGCAACCUGAGUCCGGGAAGGAGUUUGUAAUUUACAGUGAUGCAUCGUUGAAUGGCCUUGGGUGUGUGUUAAUGCAAGAGGGCAAAGUAAUAGCUUAUGCUUCGAGACAGUUGAAACCGCAUGAGAAGAAUUAUCCGACGCAUGAUUUAGAAUUGGCUGCCAUUGUUUUUGCUUUAAAAAUUUGGCGUUAUUAUUUGUAUGGUGAAAAGUGCCGAAUCUUCACUGAUCAUAAGAGUUUGAAAUAUUUGAUGAGUCAAAAAGACUUGAAUUUGCGGCAACGAAGAUGGCUCGAGCUAAUCAAAGACUAUGAGCUAGUGAUUGAUUAUCACCCCGGGAAAGCUAAUGUGGUUGCUGAUGCCUUGAGCAGAAAAUCUUUAUUUUCUUUGAGAGCUAUGGGUACGAUGUUAACUUUAUCUGAUGAUGGCUCAAUGUUGGUUGAAUUGAGAGCUAGACCGUUAUUUCUUCAGCAAAUUCGGGAAUCUCAAAAGAAUGACAGUAAAUUGCAAGCCAAGAGAGCUCAGUGUGAAGCAGGUGUUGACUCAGAUUUUCAAAUUGGUUCAAAUGAUUGCCUGAUGUUCAGGGACAGAAUAUGUGUACCGAGAAAUGAUGAGCUAAUUCGGACUAUUUUAGGUGAGGCACACAGUGGUGAUUUAUCAGUCCAUCCGGGUAGUGUGAAAAUGUACAAUGAUUUGAGGAAGUUGUAUUGGUGGCCGGGCAUGAAAAAGGAUAUCUCGGAAUUUGUAACAAAAUGUUUAAUCUGUCAACAAGUGAAGGCUGAGCAUCAAGUGCCAUCGGGUUUACUUCAACCGAUAAUGAUUCCAGAAUGGAAGUGGGACAGUAUCACGAUGGAUUUCGUGACAGGAUUGCCUUUAACUCCAAAGAAGAAAGAUGCUAUUUGGGUAAUUGUGGAUAGAUUGACAAAGUCAGCCCAUUUUAUUCCGAUACGCAUUGAUUAUUCACUUGACAGGUUGGCUGAAUUAUAUGUUGCUGAAAUAGUGAGACUACAUGGGGUGCCUAAAUCUAUUAUAUCGGAUAGAGAUCCGAGAUUUACUUCGAGGUUUUGGAUAAAGUUACAGGAAGCUUUGGGUACGAAAUUGAAUUUCAGUACUGCAUUUCAUCCGCAAACUGACGGACAAUCAGAAAGGGUGAUUCAAGUUCUUGAAGACAUGCUCCGGUGUUGUAUUUUAGAAAUGAAGGACAGCUGGGAGAAAUAUCUACCACUGGUUGAAUUUGCUUAUAAUAAUAGUUAUCAGUCAAGUAUACAAAUGGCACCGUAUGAAGCAUUAUAUGGGCGUAAAUGUAGAACCCCUUUAUAUUGGACUGAACUCGGUGAGAAUCGGAUUCAUGGAGUCGACCUGGUGAAAGAAACUGAAGAAAAGGUGAAAAUAAUCCGUGAUUGCCUAAAAGCUGCCUCAGAUCGGCAAAAGUCGUAUGCGGAUUUAAAGAGAAAAGAAAUUGAGUUUCAAGUGGGUGAUAAAGUGUUCUUGAAAGUAUCCCCAUGGAAGAAGAUUCUGAGAUUUGGUCGUAAAGGCAAACUAAGUCCACGUUUUAUUGGACCAUAUGAAGUUACCGAGAGAGUUGGCCCUGUAGCAUAUCGGUUAGCUUUACCGCCAGAGUUGGAAAAGAUACAUAAUGUAUUUCAUGUGUCGAUGUUGCGACGUUAUCGUUCGGAUCCUUCACAUAUAGUUUCUUCUACAGAGAUUGAGGUUCGACCAGAUAUGACUUAUGAAGAAGAACCCAUAAAGAUUUUGGCUCGGGAGGUCAAACAGUUAAGAAAUAAAAGUGUAGCCUUAGUGAAAGUGUUGUGGCAAAAACAUGGAAUGGAAGAGGCUACGUGGGAACCGGAGGAAAUUAUGAGGAAACAGUACCCAAACCUCUUUUCCGGUAAGAUUUUCGGGGACGAAAAUCCCUAAGGGGGGGAGAGUUGUAACAGCCCGAUUCUGGGCCUAGUCGGAAUAGUGGUUUCGGGACCACAAAUCCGACGAGGGAAAAUAUGGUUAUUAUUAUAUUUUUAUGAUCUACAAUUUCACGGAAAAUUUUCGUAAAAAUUUCGUUCGAAAAUUUCGACGUUUGGGCACUCAAUUUAGUCAAAAGGACUAAAUUGUAAAUAGUGCAAAAGUUGAGUUCUACAUCUUAGAGGUGUCUAAUUGUUAUGAAAUUUUAAAUUGGAGGUCUUUAUGUGGUAAUUAGACCAUUAGUUAGUUGAUGGACAAAAAUAGACAUAAGAAAUGGGUGAAAUAGAUUUUUUUAAAUGGGGGCAUUUUAGUCAUUUGGUUAUUAAAUAGAAUUAAAUGGGAAAAAGAUGGCAAAAUAUGCUCAUCUUCUUCAUGGUGAACGAAAUCAGCAAGGGGGAAGCCAUAUUUAGGGUUUUUAAGCUUUCAAGCUCCAUAGUAAGUGAUUCUAAGCCCCGUUUUUAAUGUUCUUCGUAUUUUUGGAGUCCCGGUAACUUGGUUUAGCUUAUUCUACCAUUAAUUCAUGUUAGGGUUCAUAUUUGGAAAAAUAUCCAUAGGUGAAAUGUGUUUAUUUUGCUGUUUUAUGGUGGAAUAUGAAGCUAGAGAUUAUGUUAAACAACUUUUGCUAAGCAAUUUUAAGCGAAAACGGGUAAAUAGACAUAAUCAAUAAAAAUAAUUAAUAUUCAAAAGUAUGUGUUGGAGUGGGAAUUUGAUGUUUCCAUAGAAGGGAAAAAUGUUCAGCAUGUUAUAAAACUUAAGAAUAAGUGAUGAAGUUUAAUUUCCGAGCUUGGGGACAAAAGUGUAAUUAUGCAAAAGUUUGGGGGCAAAAUUGUAAUUUUCAAAAAGUUGGGUGGUGGAUUAUUUUAAUAAAUGUGGACUUUAAACGAGUUAAAUUUGCUAUUAUAGAUCAAGAAAGACGUGAAGAGUAUAUCAAACGAGGAAAAGAAAAGAUAGUGGAGUAAAGUGCAAAAUUACGAUAUUUUGCACCGAGGUAAGUAAACACGUGACUUAAUGUAUUAUUUUGAUAUUAUUUGAUAUAUGUUGAGAUUUAUUUGGAAUUAAAAUAAAUGUUUGGCAAUAUCCUAAAAAUGUUGUUAAAUCGGGAAAGGUGAUAAAGGGUUGCAAUAUAUGGGUUAUGGGUUGAACACUCGGAAUAAGCCGUAGCAUGUUGUAUAUAAAAGGGGUUGCUGUGUGCUGAUUCCCCGAUUUAUGGGUGGUGCUAUGUGCGUGAUCCACCAUAUCUUUGAAAUGUGAAAGGGGGUUGCUAUGUGCUGAUUCCCCCGAGGGGUUGCUAAGUGCUGAUUCCCCGGUUCAUUGGUGGUGCUAAGUACGAUAUCCACCAUAUCUUUGAAAUGUGAAAGGGGGUUGCUAUGUGCUGAUUCCCCCGAGGGGUUGCUAAGUGCUGAUUCCCCGGUUCAUUGGUGGUGCUAAGUGCGAUAUCCACCAUAUCUUUGAAAUGUGAAAGGGGGUUGCUAUGUGCUGAUUCCCCCGAGGGGUUGCUAAGUGCGAUAUCCAUUGUAUAUUUGAAAUGAAAAGGGGGUUGCUAUGUGCUGAUUCCCCCGAGGGGUUGCUAAGUGAUGAUUCCCCGAUUCAGUGGUAGUGCUAAGUGCGAGAUCCACCAAUAACGGUUAACAUUCCGAGUGUUCAACGAAAAAGUGUGGAAGGUGAAUAUUGCCAUAUGGUGGAAAAUUUUAUGGGGUAAAUAUUGAGUUGGACACUAAAUCGAUCCAUGUAUGAGAUGGGAGAAAAUAUCAAAAACGAAAAAGGAACGAUUUAAUUAUAAACUGUGUUGAACAACAGUAGUUGGGUAACUUUGAAAAAUCACCAUAAAUGGUGGAAAAUUAAUGGGAAGCUGAAUAAUAUAUGAAAUUGAAGCUGGAUGUGUCUGUUUUCAUAUGAAAGAAAUAAAAUAAGCAAAAGAGUUGUAUUUUUGGAGAUAUCUGAAUUUUACUAAAACAGGGCUGGAUUGAUUUCGAGAUCCCCUGUUCUAACUUUGGAAAAUUACCAAAAAUUGUAAAAAAAUAAUUAUGGCAUAAAAUUUAUAUCCCUGGAAUCCUUAUUGAGUCUAUUUUUAUUAGAAACAAGAAAACCCAUUUUUCAAAUUUUGUACAGAGAGUUAAGUAAAUUUUAGUGAGGAAGGGUCAGAACCGUUGGGCAGUGAAACAGGGGAAGGUUUAAUGAAUAAACUGUACUAAUUGGCUGGGUUAAAAAUUCUGAAAUUUUUAUGGUGAAAUGGUAUAUGAGUCUAGUUUUAGGGAAAAUUUACGGAACUCAAUUUGGAGCCCUGUAGAUCCAGAUAAAAAUAAAUUAGCGACUAUGACGCAGAAAAACAGCUUGCUGGAAAUUGCCUAAACAAUAAAGUUAUUCAUGAAUAAGUUUAUAUUUUGGUGUAGUUGUGGGAGUAAUUACUUAUUUAUCAUGUGUUUACUUACUAAGCUAUAUGCUUACUCGAUUUUAUUUUUCUCUUGGUUAUAGUGACUUCCAACAACUCGGAAAUUGGAACGAAGUCAGACAAUCAUCUACACUAUCCUUCACAUUUGGGGUAUUUUACUACUAGUGUUCCGAAAUUUUAUGGCAUGUAUAGACACUUUAUGUAAUGUGGGAUCAUCAUGUAAAUAUAUGUUAUGGUUCCCUUUUAAAUGUAGUGUUUAUUAAUAGUUAAACUAUAUGUGUGUUUAUACAAAUGAAAUUGGUUGGUAUAUUGGAAUGUGUUCUAAAUUUGCAGGAGGUUUAAGCAAAAAUAAGUAGGAAUGCUGUCGAAAAUUUUUAAAAAUUUAGUAAUACCUCAUACUCUGUUCCGGUAAGGAAUACGGGUAAGGGGUGUUACAGAACAACUAGACUGCGGAGAAAAUUCCUGUAGUUUUUAGUGCAAAUACAGAGUAAUGUUCAAAACACACUUGUUAUUUUAAAGCCUAGAAGUGAUAAGAAUCUUUUGAGAAAUAGGCUCGUGUUCAAAACAUCUUUAUUUCAAUACAAUUACACUUUUAUGUCAUAUUCUGAGUAAAAUUUCUUUUAUCUUAAGCCAAUAUUCUUUUGCAUUUCAUAUUUAAUCAUGCCAUACAAAUACACUAUUCUUAGAUUCUUUUAUUUUUUCUUGGCUAUCCUUUCAUGCCAACAAUAGGUCUCUAGAUAUUAAUGACAUGAUUGACGCUGUUAUGGGCUCAGAGUUCCCUUUUGAGCGAGACAUGUUUUUGGAAGGAUCUCAGGAUUUUGAAGAUGAUGAAGACUGUAGCUUACCUUCAGAUUAGUUAAGGAUGGUAGAAUAAGAAGAGAAACAGAUUCUACCCCAUAAAGAGACAAUCGAGAGUGUGACCUUAGAAGAGGGGAAAGAGGUGAACAUUGGAACUUGUAUAACUGAGGAAACAAGACGGGACCUCAUUGAUUUACUACAAGAGUUCAAAGAUAUCUUCGCGUGGUCAUAUCAAGACAUGCCUGGGCUAAGUGGUGAUAUUAUGGUGCAUCGCAUCCCCUAAAAGAAGAGUGCAAGCCUAUUCAGCAGAGGCUUCGGAGGAUAAGACCCGAUGUUGUAGUAAAAAUAAGAGAAUAGGUCAGGAAGCAAUUUGAUACCGGGUUCUUGCAAGUGGUGAAUUACUCAGAAUAGGUAGCCAAUGUCGUCCCUAUCCCUAAUAAGGAUGGAAAAGUGUGGAUGUGCAUGGAUUACAGAGGCUUAAAUAAGGCUAGCCCAAAGGACAACUUCCCACUACCUCACAUCAACACUUUGGUGGAUAACACGGCAGGUUACUCACUGUUCUCCUUCAUAGAUGGUUUCUCUGGGUACAAUCAGAUAAUGAUACAUCCUGAAGACAUGGAAAAAAACCACAUUCAUAACCUUAUGGGGGACUUUUUGCUAUAGGGUGAUGCCAUUCAGGUUGAAGAAUGUUGGAGCAAUAUAUCAAAGAGCCAUGGUAACCUUGUCUCACGACAUGAUGCACAAGGAAAUUGAGGUCUAUGUCGAUGAUAUGAUCGCAAAAUCCUGAACAGAAAAGGAACAUAUGCAGGUUUUGAGGAAAUUGUUCCUUAGGUUGAGGAAGUUUCAACUAAAGCUCAAUCCAACGAAAUGUACUUUUGGAGCCAAGUCAGGGAAGCUACUUGGUUUUAUAGUCAGCAAAAAGGGAAUUGAGGUCGACCCCGGCAAAGUUAAGGCUAUACAAAAAUUACCUCCACCGCGCACUCAGAAGGAAGUUCGAGGUUUCCUUGGAAGACUAAAUUAUAUCGCCCAAAUUCAUUUCACAGCUAACUGAGAAAUGUGACCCCAUAUUUCGUCUUCUCAAGAAACACAACCCAGGUGUGUGGGAUGAUAAGUGCCAGAAAACCUUUGACAAGGUUAAACAGUAUUUGUCUAAUCUCCCGGUGCUAAUGCCACCUAGUCUUGGUAGGCCAUUGAUACUGUAUUUGAUAGUGUUUGACAAUUCAAUGUGAUGUGUGCUCGAUCAACAUGAUGAGACAGAAAAGAAAGAAAGGGCGAUAUAUUACCUCAGUAAGAAAUUCACUGAGUGUGAAAUGAGAUACUUGUCAAUUGAGAAAUUAUGUUGUGCCUUGGUUUGGACUACUCGGAGAUUGAGGCAGUACAUGUUAUACCAUACGACUUGGUUAAUCUCAAAAUUGGACCCUUUAAAGUAUAUGAUGGAGUCAACUGCUUUGAGUGGAAGGAUGGCCCGAUGACAAAUUCUGCUUUCCGAAUUCGACAUAGUUUAUAUGAGUCAAAAGGCAGUGAAAAAGAGUGCAAUAGCAGAUUUUCUAGCCAGCAGAGCUUUGGAAGAUUAUGAGCCUUUGAACUUUGAUUUCCCAAAUGAAGAUCUAAUGUAUGUCGCAACUACUGAAGAUGACACCUUAGAAGAUCAUCCGUGGAAACUGAAUUUUGACGGAGCAUCAAAUACCAUUGGUAAUGAAAUUGGGGCAGUCUUGAUAUCCCCAGGUGGAGAUCAUUAUCCGUUCACUUGCAAAUUGGAUUUUGAUUGCACAAAUAAUAUGGCAAAGUACGAAGUAUGUAUCAUGGGAAUCCGUGCAGCCAUCGAACGUAAAAUUAGGGUGUUAGAGUUGUAUGGGGAUUCUGCACUGGUGAUCUAUCAGCUCAAAGGUGAGUGGGAAACAAGAGACCCAAAGUUGAUUAACUAUAAAGAGAUAAUUCGGGAUCUAAUUAAGGUGUUUGAUGAUAUCACUUUCGAUUAUCUCCCGCGAGAUGAAAACCAGAUGGCAAAUGCCUUAGCUACGUUAGCUUCUAUGAUCAGAGUAAAUGGACGAGAGAAUAUGAAGCUGAUCCAUAUGAGUAUUUAUGAGGCUCCAGCUCAUUGUUGCAAUAUAGAUGACAAAGAGGAAAGAGAUGAUUAUCCUUGGUAUCAUAAUAUUUUACGAUAUGUGAAGAAUCGUGAAUACCCUGACCAGGCAACUGAAAAUGAUAAGAGGACAUUGAGAAGGCUAACCAGUGACUCUGUCUUAGAUGGGGAAAUCCUGUAUAAAAUGAGGAAAUGUAACACCCCGUACCCGAGUCCGUCGCCGGAGUCAGACACGAGGGGUUUGCAGACUUAAAUCACUUCUUUGCACAAUCCAUUUUAAAUUUUCCAGGCAAGCUGGUUAACUGCGUCACUGUCACCUUAAAAAUCAUAUCUUGAGUUUCAAAACUCUAAAAUAAGCUUCCUGAUUUUUCCCUGAAACUAGACUCAUAUAGGCAUCUACAAAUUUUUUUCUAGAAUUUUUGGUCUGGCAAAUUAGUACAGUUUAUUAGUCAAAGUCUCCCCUGUUACAGGGAUCGACUACACUGACCUUCAUGCAUUACGAUUUGGAUAUCUCCCUUCACAGAGCUUCAAUACUGAUACCGUUUGUUUCUAUAGAAACUAGACUCAGAGAGGAAUCUAUACAUAUAUGGCAUGACUCCUAAUUAUCUCUGGUUAAUUUAUAAUGAAUUUCCAAAGUCGGAACAGGGAAUCCAGAAACCGUUCUGGCCCUGUCUCACGAGAACCUGAAUAUCUCUUAACAUACUGUCCAUAUGAUCGUUUUGUUACUUUUCUAUGAAAAUAGAUUCAUCAAGGUUCGUUUACAUAAUUUAUUAACUAUUUAAUUCCAUUCCUACUAUUUUUAGUGAUUUUCCAAAUCUACAUCACUGCUGCUGUCAGCAUCUGCCUUUAAGGUAGACUUUACCUAUUUCAUAGUUUCCAUGAUUCAACUAGCCCUUUUAGCAUAAAUAGCACAAAUUAUGAUAGUGAUUAACCAUUCCCAUGGCCAAUCCUUGUUAAGCAUAUCCACACCUCUCAAUAACCAUAUCCAUACCAAAUGAUUAUAACAUUAUGCUCAAACAUAUAUAAGCCAUUUUCGCAUGGCUAUCCAAAAUUAUACAAAUCCAAAGGGUCCAUGACCCACAACAAAAAGGGUAGUCCUAUACAUGCCAUACCCAGAGUUCAAUUAAAAGAGUACCAAAAGGGCUUUGAUAGUGUGGAUGACUUUGACUUCGAUGAUCCCGAAUCCGAUAUCUAACGAACAAAAUCUAUAAAACAGAGAGCCAAAGCAACGAGGUAAGCAUUUUAAAGCUUAGUAAGUUUCAAGUAAUGAAAUCGGCUUUGACUAAAGUAUUACAUUCACAUAGCUAAAUGAAUCACUUUAUUAAUACACAUUCUCAUAAACAUACUUACUUCACACUUCAUCAACAUAUACACACAAGGUAUUAACCUAUCUAAAAGCCGAAAGUUCGUUAGUCGAUUGAACGAAUACUAUUUAAAACGAAUCGACUUUUCCGAUGCACACGCAAACAUACCUUAUCGUUUGGGUUUUUCGAGCGUAUUAAUUGAAUUUAUUACAGCACAACACGCUCACCUUCGAACCCAAGUUUCUUCGAAAUUUAGCCGGAUAUAACCACAAGCACAAUUGCCUUCGGGUCUUAACCCGGGUAUAGCAACUCGCACAAAUGCCUUCGGGUCUUAGCCCGGAUAAAAUCACUAGCACAAUUGCCUUCGGGUCUUAACCCGGGUAUAGCAACUCACAUAAAUGCCUUCGGGUCUUAGCCCGGAUAUAUCAACUCGCACAAAUGCCUUCGGGUCUUAGCCCGGAUAAAAUCACUAGCAUAAAUGCCUUCGGGACUUAGCCCGGAUAUCAUUCAAAUGUUCAUGCACACAUAUAUCAAUAAUCAUGACACAUCCAUAUUUCAUUUUCGUUACUAAGGCUCAAACACAAAACAUUUAUUAAACCUUUCCAAUUUCGGCUCAAUAGCCACACACAAAGAGCAUGAUUUCAAUUGGCUUUAUAACAUAGUCUCUAUGCACAUUCGGCUAUCCGUCAUAGUAUGACUAAUCAUUUCAAUAUAAUUCAAGUAGGGUCAUUACUCGAAGACUUACCUCGGAUGUUGUCGAACGGUUUCGACGGCUAUUCGACCACUUUUUCCUUCCCUUUAUCGGAUUUAGUUCCCCUUUGCUCUUGAGCUUAAUUCAAACAAAUUUAACUCAUUAAAGUCUCAUUUUGCUAGCUUAUGGCCGAAUAUGACAAGGAGUUUGAUAGGUCAUAUGGCCACCUUUUAGCUCAAAUACACAAUGGUCAUACGCAUUUUUAAUCACAUCAAGCAAUUUAAUACAAUUCAUUCGAACAUCAAAAGAGAAGCUCAAGGUACUUAGCCCAUAUAUACAUUAGACAUUAGAGUCACAUAUGUACGAAAUUACGAAUCGAAUUCAACAUACUAGCUAAUAUUUCCCUUAGCCGAAUUUUCUAAGUCAAGAUAAAGCCAUCAAUAUGCUUACCUAUGGCCGAACAUACACAUCAACUUAUGUACUCAUUCAUGUGGCCGAACAUACAUGUCUAUGUUGAGGCCGAUUGUAACACUCAAUACAUUCUACAAGUAUGGUCACUUGUAUUGACUAAACACCAUUUUGUUUCAAGUUCAAAACUUGGCCCAUACACAUAUAUUCACUAGUAAAGCAUCCUCUCCCUUUCCAUCAAUUCAACACAUGCAUUACUCAUUAAUAUACAAAAAUUAUAUUCGGCCUUAGCACACAACUUGCUAGCCGAUUCUUCUCCAUCUAGCAACUAAUGCACAUAUGUGCUCAUUUGUUAGACUCUACUUCAUCUAACAACAACCAUAUUUUCCCUUCUACUUCCUACCAUGGCCAAAUGCAUCACAACACCAUACCAUUUCAAUUUUUGGUCAUGGUUAAACAAAGAACUUAAUGUCUCACUCAAAAAUGCUAAAAAGAAGAUUCAAGAAUCAUCAAUCCACCAUUACAUGCACCAUUACAAAGCUUCACUUUUAGCAUGCAAAUGAUAUCAACACCAAUCCACCUUGGCCGAAUAUCAUCUCCAUGACAUAGUAAAGAUUUGAACCAUGGGCUAUUUAGAACUCAAGCUAACUACUAAAACAUGCAUGCAUCUCAUGGAACAUCAUCAAACAUACCUUAGUCUAUCAAACCACCAUAGCCGAUUUCCUCAAAGCUCUUUUUCCUUCUUUUUCUUUCUCCUAUUCGGCCAAGAACAACAUGAGAGCUUUUCUCUUCUUUUUUUUUUUGGUCAUGCAUGAGAAUGAUGAACACAUUUUUUUUUCUUUGUUUUCUUCCUUCAAUUUCUUAUUAGUUUAUUGCCCAUGCUUCUUAUUUUAUUCUUCCAUUAACACAACAUGUUUCAUGACAUGUUUUGCCCAUCAUCCCUUGUCAUGGCCGGCCACUAGUACUUAAAUGGGGGGAAAUUGACAUGCAAGUCCACCCCUUUGAUUACAUGUACUAUUAGGCCACUUGCAUUUGCCUAGCACAUUUCUAAAUUUUCUCACAUAAGUCCUAUCAACUAAAUUCACAUGCAAUUAACUAAAUCGAAGCUUAAAACUUUCACACAUUUAUAUUCACAUAUUUUAGGCAAUAAUUAUCACAUUCAAAUAAUUUGGUGACUCAGUCUAGCGGCCUCGAGACCGCUUUUCGACUAGGGUCACUUUAGGGCUGUCACAGGAAAGAUCAGGUGCUGUUAAGAUGUGUUGAUGUUGUACAAGCUAAGAAAAUCCUGGAAGAAGUCCAUGAAGGUGUCUGCGGGACGCAUGCCAAUGGGUUUACAAUGGCCAGGCAAAUCAUGACAUUCGGGUACUACUGGUCCACAAUGGAAGGAGAUUGCAUCAGCUAUGCCAAGAAAUGCCAUAAAUGCCAAAUUUAUAGUGACAAGAUCCACGUGUCUCAUUCACCCCUUCAUGUCAUGACUUCUCCGUGGCCUUUCUCAAUGUGGGGCAUGGACGUCAUUAGGCAGAUUUCACCGAAGGCUUCUAAUGGACAUCGAUUCAUCUUUUUAGUCAUUAAUUACUUCACCAAGUGGGUAGAGGCUGCUUCAUAUGCCAACGUCACAAAUUCGACAGUCAGCAAGUUCUUGAAGAAGGAGAUCAUAUGUCAAUAUGGCAUGCCAGAAAGGAUCAUAUCUAACAACGCAUUGAAUUUGAAUAACAGUGUGAUAGUAGAGGUCUACAGGCAAUUCAAAAUUAAACACCACAACUCAUCACCAUAUUACCCGAAAAUGAAUGGUGCGGUUGAGGCCGCUAAUAAGAAUAUCAAAAAGAUCGUAGGGAAAAUAACUGAGACCUACAAGGAUUGGCAUGAAAAGUUACCAUUUGCUCUUUAUGCCUAUUGAACGUCUGUCAAAACUUCUACCAGGGCAACGCCUUACUCGUUGGUCUAUGGGAUGGAGGCAGUUUUGCCUAUUGAAGUUGAAAUUCCUUCUCUCCAAGUUUUAUCAGAGUUGAAGCUAGACGAAGCUGAAUGGAUUCAGUCCCGGUAUGAUCAGCUGAACUUGAUUGAAGAAAAGAGGCUGAGGGUUAUCUGUUAUGGGAAAAUGUACAAAAAGCGAAUGAUGAGAGCUUACAACAAAAAGGUUCGCCCCAGAGUAUUCUAUGAGGGGGACUUGGUAUUGAAGCAGAUCCUUCCUAUGCAAAAAAAUUUCAGAGGGAAAUGGAUGCCAAUCUGGGAAGGACCUUACGUGGUAAAGAAGGCUUUUUCUAGAGGAGCACUGAUAUUAACUAAGAUGGAUGGUAGGAGCCUGCCUAACCCAAUAAAUGCGGAUUCAGUCAAGAAAUACUUCACUUAAGAGGUGAAAACCCGAAAAGGGCACCUAAAAAAAACAAAGAAGAAAAAAAAUAAGAAGAGGUCAAGGUGAAAACCCGCAAAGGGCGCCUUAAGACCAAAAGGGUUUUGAAUUGAAAACCCAAAAAGGGCAACUCAAAUUUUGACUAAGGAUGGGGUAGGUGGUAGUCUUGCUAUGCUAGAAUUAAUGAAGAAGAAGUACGCAUGUCUUGGGGCAUCGACAGAGUACGUUAGAUCUCCUAGGCACAUAAUAAGCUCAAAAUAGUCCUCGUGGAAUUUAUACGGAGGAGCUUAGGCUACGAUAUCUAGGGCGUUCAUUUUUUUCCCUUUUACCUAUUUUUGUACUCUGGCAAUUUUUGCUUCCCUUGAUUAAUCGAUUCUUCUUGAAUCUUGUUCCUAAUAAAUUUCAAUUUUGUCUAUCUUUAUCUUUAUGUUCGAGCCCUUUUAUUGAAAUAACGGUUAAUGGACUAAUAAUACUUUUACAAAGAGGUUUUGUAUAUUACUCUAGAGGUUUCUAAAUGGUACAAGAACCUGAAACAGGACUUUUGAUUAGAGCUUACCCAACUUUGGGGUGGAAUAUUUGUGUUCAAAUUGGGAUUAUCUCUUCAGAUUUUCAGUCAAAGAUAUUGAUUGAAUAAAGCAGGAUAUUGUGUCAACCAAAGCAUUAGAGGGGAUCAUGAUAUUCCUCAUUAAUGUAAUGUCGAGCGUACACAUCUGGUCAUGGUGCCCGGUGAGUGGGGUAAUAGACUGAAUUGAUGGAAGAGGGGGUUUUGAAGAUGGUAUAAACCUUAGGUUUUAGAAGUACAAUGAAACAUACCCUGAAGUUGCAACGGGGCAAACUAGUUGAGCAAAAUGAGUUGUUUCUAUAGGUUUUGUUGAGAAAUACUGGUCAAGCAAGAAGGCAGCAUAAUACGAUGGUGAUAAAACUCUGAUGAAUAACAAGUGAUGACACUUAAAGCUUUAAAAGAAAAAGGAAAUCAUUUUCAUUUCUACAUUCAUAUCAUUUAUAACACAUUUGGUUAGGUGCAUCUGAUUCAUUUCGGUCAUAGCAUUCUAAUCAUUUGGCAUGAACAUAGACAUGAAACCGAGUCUACAGGGCAUGUUCCCCAAAGGACAGUGUAGCGAUAUCGGUGAAAAUUACAGAUCUUAUCUGCAUGUAUCGGCUAUGGAGCAGAUCGAAAAUGGCAAGUCUUAUCUCCAUGUAUCGGCUAUGGAGUAGAUUUUAGCCACCAGCCUUAUCUCUCUAAGGUAGCAAGGGAGCAAGUUGAAGAUACAGGUCUUAUCUUCCUGAAGUUGCAGGAAGCAGACUGAAAGUUACAGAUCUUAUCUACAUGUAUCGGUUAUGGAGUAGACUUUAGCCACCAACCUUAUCUCUCUGAGGUAACAAGAGAGCAGGUUGAAGAUACAAGUCUUAUCUUCCUGUAGUUGCAGGAAGCAGAUUGAAAAUUACAGAUCUUAUCUCCAUGUAUCGACUAUGGAAUAGAUCAAAAAUGGCGAGUCUUAUCUCCAUGUAUUGGCUAUGGAGCAGAUUUUAGCCACCAUCCUUAUCACUGUGAGGUAGCAAGAGAGCGGGUUAAAGGUGCAGGUCUUAUCUUCCUAAAGUUGCAGGAAGCAGACUGAAAAUUACAGAUCUUAUCUCCAUGUGUCGGCUAUGGAGCAAAUCAAAAAUGGCGAGUCUUAUCCCCAUGUAUCGGCUAUGGAGCAGAUUUAAGCCAUCAACCUUAUCUUCCUAAAGUUGCAGUGGAGCAGGUUGAAGUCACAAACAGUAUCUUCCUAAAGUUGCUGAAAGACUACUUGAAGAAGGACAGUCGAAGAUUUGGUAAGACCGGGAAAAAUUGGUCCUUUUAAGGUCUUUGCUCCGUUCUCGUUACACAACAACGGGCAAAGAGGAGCAGCUGUAAGACCCAAAUUUGGCCCGGGCCUAUAUACAUACAAUAGACAAAAGACAACAGUCCGAACCUAAGUUACAGCAGGCCCAAUUCAUAAAAACAAAGACUUAGGUCCAAAAAUAAAGGCUCGAUGGCCCAAAGUUUUGGGGUUUUUGGGAAACCCUGGAUCUCCAUGCACCACACGAAUACAGCCACCACGCUCUCCACCUCGCAUGUCCGGCCAACUCACGUGUAGCACGACCCACGCCCUACGUUCACCAUACCUGCAACUAGUAGAAGUAAAGAAACCGUUGUAAAGUUAGCUAUAAAAGGCCACGAAUUUUCAUUUGUUGGAUUUUUUUUUUGGAAUACAAAAUACACAAAGAAUCCAAGAGCAAUGAAAGAAUACUUCAAGGUGAUUCAUCAUUAUUUUAUUCUAUUUUUUUCAUUUUCAUUUGAGUUCACGAAAUAUAAAAUAAUAUAUCGUAGAAGGGAGAGAAGUCGUAUCUUUUGAUUUGCUAGCAAAAGAGGGAAAUUUUCAGCCUUUCGGUGGCCGUCUACAGCAGUGCGCGAGGCGGCAGAAGAGGGCCUGGGUUUUUGCCCUUUCGGCUGAGAAAGGAAAAUGAUGGAAAUGUUUUAGGUUUUUUUUUAAAAAAAAAGGUUAAAAUAUUUUUUAAAGCAGGUUUUAAGCAAUAGAAGGAAAUAGCAUUGGGGAAAGGAACAGACAGCUUUUUGACUUGGUCUAUGUGCAUAAUUUCUUUGAAUGAUUAAUUUGCGCGAUUGGUCCCUUCCCUCUUGCACUGGCUUGUAAUUGAAGCUUCUUUAUAUUUUCUAUUUUUUUAAAAUUGUCCCAGAAAUUUGUGCGUCCAUUCAUUUCAGUCCGUGCUGAAAAGAAUUGUUUUGGGGCAUGGUUUAUUUGCUUUUUCGGUCCUUGCAAAGUAAUCUUGCUGAAGCUCGGGGAAGAGUAGUUAAUUUACACACGCUACAUUUGGGUCCUAAUUUUGGUUUUUAACGGCUUAUUUUAUUUAUUAAUUGUCCCAUUUAGUUUAAUUUUAUUUCAAUUGAGUUUGUUUUCCCCAUUUCAACAUGUAUAAUCCAUUACUUCUUUAAUUUAUUUAGCAUUCAACUCUUUUUUUUAAAAAAAUUUAUUUAAACAUACAUUUUGGGCUACUUUAAUAAUUUUACCUUGUUUUUUAUUUGUUCAAAUUGUAAAGUGUUAUUUUAAAAUUCUAUUUUAUGUAGUAUCAUUUUAAGUUCUUGUAUAAUAUAUGGUUAAAAUACAUUUAUAUACUAUUAUUAUACAUAUAUAAUUUUUGAUAAAAUUAGCCCUAUUCUAUAUACAUUAUUGUUUUCAUAUUAUUUUAUGUAAAUAUUUUCUUUUAAAUUUAUUAUGUAUAUAUAUUCUCUUUAAAAUUUAUUUAUGUAUAAUUUGGGCUUUCUUUUAAGGAUCUUAUUUUUAAUUGUAUAUUUUAUUUAUUUAGAAUACUUUAGUAUCUUUGUAUAUGCAUUAUUAAUAUUUUUUCCCCUACAUGCGUCAUUAGUCACAUCAAUUUGUUUUACUUGAAAUUAUGUUAUACACUAUUUAUUUCGAAUUUCUUCUUGUAUAUUAUAUGUUUUAAUAAUUGUUUAUGUAUUAUCAGUUUUUGUGUACAUAUUAGUUAUGUUGAAUUUUAACAUGUGUUAUUCCUUUAUAUAUUUUUCAUACGGGUUUUUGAAUUGUUUUGCUAUGGUUCCUGAUUUUCAUAUGGUCUUAUGUAUUAUGAGUUUUUUUUUCCAUAAUUUAUUGUUUAUAAUUAUAUUUCUAUUUCUUAUUGUUAUAUCAUGAUUAUAAUUCUCAUAUCCACUUAAUAUCGAUUGUCCUUUAUUUCAAACAAAUCAAGUAAGUAUAUUUUGACUCAGUUUUUGUAAUUGCUUAUUUGAAAUUUCACAAAUCAAGGCAAUGUUUUGUGUUUGGAAAUUCGAGGAAUCGUGCCCUAACGUGCUGGGUUUCGAUUUAUCGUUGGACCAAAUAACCGAAUACCCUUUUAAAAAUUUUUGUCUCGUGUUUUUGAAAUCAUGAGGUGAUCUCAUUUUUGGAGGCUUAAAAUAUCGUGUCCUAACGUGCUGGAUGUGGUAUUUUAUUCCUUUGGAACGAGUGAAUCUUAAAAUCCAACUUGAGUUGUUUCGCGUGUUUUGGAAAUCGUGAGGUGAUCUCAGUUUUUUUUAGAAGUUUAAAAUAUCGUGUCCUAACGUGCUGGAUGUGGCAUUUAACUCAUUUGGAACGAGUGAAUCUUAACAAACUCGAAUUGUGCACGCACUUUUAAGGGGAUUGUAUUUCAAUUUUUUUUUAAAUUUUCAACAUUAGGACAUAAAUUAAUCAAUUAGGUACCAAUUUUGGGCGUUACGAGGGUGAUAAUCAUUCCUCGUACGUAACCGACUCCCAAACCCAUUUCUUUUUUUUUUUCGUAGGCCAAAACUCAUAGUUUAAUAAAAUGAUUUAUUAGGUGAUCCGAUCACACCUAAACCAAAAAAGAUUGGUGGCAAUUCCUUAAUUCGUUUUUAAAGUCGAUCCCUGUUUUUUUCAAACUUUUAAAAAUGGUUUUGACAAGCAGUAAUGAUAAGCAAACAGCAAUUAGUAUAAAGUAAAUAAUCCCUUUAAUUUUUUUAAUUACUUCUAAAAUCAAUAAAAUGAUUUUUAAAUUUAAUUUUUUAAAAAUUGCUAAUGUAUUAAAUAAUUUAAUUUCCUAAAUUAGCAUGAAUUAAGUAAAUUAUAUUUAAUAUUAAUUUCUUUUACAAAAAUCAUAUUAUAUUAUGAUUUUAAAUUAAUUUCCUAAAUUAGCAUGUAUUAAUUUAGAAAAUUUAGUGUGAGCACUUGAUUUUAAAAUGUUUUUAUUAACUUCAUUUGGUCAAAAAUCAUAUUUUAUUAAAAAAUUUUAAAAAAUAAAUCAAAUUAAAUUUCUUAAAUUAAUUACGUGAAUUAAGUAAAAUCCAAGGUUGACUUUUUAUUUAUUUUAAAUUUAAUUCUUUAAAUUUGCGUGAAUUAAGUAAUUUCAAAAUGAUUUUUUUUAAAUUUCGAAAUGAAAUCUUUAUAUGUUGUUAACUUGUAUUGUUUAUGAUAUUUAAUAUUAAUUUUUUAAUUAUAUUAUUAAUAAAUUUAUUUUUAAACAAAAUUUAAAUACAAUAAAUGAGUCUCACAUCAAUCCUAAAGUCAAUUUAAUAUCAAUCAAUUAGAGGAAGAUUCAUCUACAACUAAAAUUACCUUACUUGUUUCAAUAUGUUACUUAUAUAUAUAUAUACAUAUACAUAUAUAUCAUUAAAAUAUAUAUUCCAGUGAAUCACUAUUCUAGUAAUGAUUAAGUCGUAAUAAAUAAGUGUGUUCAUUAAAAUAUAUCCUUUUAUAUGAAAAGAAAAACAUCUAUUUUGAAUUGUUUGGAAUUAUCAUAAUGAGGAUGUAGAUCCCAAAUUUUGCUUCGAUCCAACAAACAAAGCCUGGAACACCAAAUAAAUUAACAGUCCAAUUAACAUUUCACUAAACCAACUAUUAAACUACCCCACUAAAUCACCCCACUAAUUCCAUCAUCCAACUUACCUGCAAAAAGAAAGAGGCAAUCAGUUAUAAAAUUUGGCUAUAGAAGCCAUUCAAAACUAUUAUAAAGGGGUUUUUUUUUUUGGAGAAAAAAGGAGAGAGAUUCAAAUAAAGACUUUCAAUACAAGAAAUACACGAGAUUAAUAAAAAAUCAAAGCAAAAGAGGUUUUUUUUUUUAGGUUCGGCCGCCGUGUACGGUGACGCCGACGGCGGUGCGUGGAGGUCCGGUGACCGAAGCAAGGCCAGACCGAUGGCCGAAUUUUGAAGGGAGGGGGAGAGUGUUAUUAUUAUUAUUAUUUUAUUAUUACUUUUACCUUUUUAUUACUAUUAUUAUUUUUAUUAAUAUAAUAUUAUUUCCUUUUUUUAUAUGUUGUUAUUAUUAUUAGCACGUAUAUUAUUAUUAUUAAUGUAUCAUUGUUAUUUUCUAUUUUAGUAUUACUUUUAUUAUUAUUGUUUCUAUUAUUAUUAUUUUCAUUACUUCCAUUGUUAUUAUCAUCAUUUUCUAUUAUCAUUAAUAUGUCAUGUGUUCAUUAUUAUUAUUUUUUUAAUACUAUUAUCAUCAUUAUAUAUUUACUUUUUUUUAAUAUUAUUACCAUUAUAUAUUUUUUUAUUACUAUUAUUUUUAUUAUCUGUCCUACUUUUAAACUAUUUCAUUCAAUAUUUUGUUGUACAUGGUUUAUUUAUCCACUCCCGAUUUAAAUUAAAUUUUCAUUCAAAUUUUUCUUUGUUAUUCCAUUUUUUAUCUCUAUAUUAUUUUACUUAUUAUUUUUUAUUCUGGAUUUUUCAAGUAAAGGCAAUAUUCGGUACUUGGAAAUUCGAGAAAUCGUGUCCUAACGUACUAGGUUUCGAUUUUUC
This 85285-nucleotide long non-coding RNA is filed under the name Gossypium barbadense (sea-island cotton). Its description in RNAcentral is "long non-coding RNA (GBAR_LNC003178)". The stretch from base 7400 to 7472 matches the Rfam family "tRNA". The record is from RNAcentral. Lineage: Eukaryota; Viridiplantae; Streptophyta; Magnoliopsida; Malvales; Malvaceae.